GAGCCAGGGCUCGGAGCGAGCGAGGGACGACAGAAGGGACGGGCAGGUGGGGGCGCGGGGCGCGCAGCCCGACGGCUGGAGUAGCAGGCGCUCGGUGCAUGGGCCAGUGAGGACGCGCAGAGGUCUCCUCGCCGCUGCGGAGGCGGAGUAGCGCGGGAGCCAGGCGCUGCUCGGCGACCCUGCGUCCGAGCAAGCGGAACCUCGCGCUUUGCCCGGGGACGGUCCGAAGUCCGCGCUAUGGAAGAGGAGAAAUAUUUGCCUGAGCUGAUGGCAGAGAAAGAUAGCCUGGAUCCAUCCUUUGUGCACGCAUCGCGCCUUUUGGCUGAAGAAAUUGAAAAAUUUCAAGGAUCUGAUGGAAAAAAGGAUGAUGAAGAAAAGAAAUAUCUUGAUGUCAUCAGCAACAAAAACAUAAAACUGUCAGAAAGAGUGUUGAUUCCUGUCAAGCAAUAUCCAAAGUUCAAUUUUGUGGGGAAAUUGCUUGGACCAAGAGGAAACUCCUUGAAGAGGCUACAGGAAGAAACAGGUGCUAAAAUGUCUAUCCUGGGCAAAGGAUCAAUGAGAGAUAAAGCAAAGGAAGAAGAACUAAGGAAGAGUGGGGAAGCCAAAUAUGCCCACUUGAGUGAUGAACUUCAUGUAUUAAUUGAAGUGUUUGCACCACCUGGGGAAGCUUACUCACGUAUGAGUCACGCGUUGGAAGAGAUUAAAAAAUUCCUGGUUCCUGACUACAAUGAUGAAAUUCGUCAGGAACAACUACGUGAAUUAUCUUACUUAAAUGGCUCUGAGGACUCUGGUCGUGGGAGAGGUAUUAGAGGCAGAGGAAUCAGAAUAGCUUCCACGACUCCCUCAAGGGGCCGUGGGGGUGCCAUUCCUCCUCCCCCACCACCUGGUCGAGGUGUUCUCACCCCUCGCGGGACCACUGUAACUCGUGGAGCUCUUCCAGUGCCCCCAGUAGCGAGAGGUGUCCCUACCCCUCGAGCCCGGGGGACCCCAACAGUGCCAGGAUACAGGGCACCCCCUCCUCCAUCCCAUGAGGCUUAUGAAGAAUAUGGGUACGAUGACGGUUAUGGGGGUGAAUAUGAUGACCAGACCUAUGAGGCUUAUGAUAACAGCUAUGGGACCCAAACACAAAGUGUGCCUGAAUACUAUGACUACGGUCACGGAGUAACUGAGGAUGCCUAUGACAGCUAUGCACCAGAAGAAUGGGCCACCACCCGCCCCAGCUUGAAGGCUCCACCUCCAAGGUCAGCCAGAGGGGGAUACAGGGAACACCCCUACGGUAGAUAUUGAAGGUCCUCCUCAACUGUGACCUCACCUCAAAGACAAUUCAUAGCCUGUGGUCUUCACACAAACAGCAACAAGACAAGUACCCAUGAGUAAAGAACACAUUGAAUACCAGAUGUGAUUGGCUAAGAAACCUGGAGGGCUGGCUGGCGCCGUGGCUCAAUGGGCUAAUCCUCCAACUGCAGCGCUGGCAUCCCAUAUGGGUGCUGGUUCUAGUCCUGGUUCCUCCUUUUCCAGUCCAGCUUUCUGCUGUGGCCUGGGAGUGCAGUGGAGGAUGGCCCAGGUGCUUGGGCCCUGCACCCGCAUGGGAGACCAGGAGAAGCACCUGGCUCCUGGCUUUGGAUCAGCGCGGCGCACCAGCCGCAGCGCACCCGCCGCAGCGGCCAUUGAGGGAUGAACCAACGGACACUAAAAAGAAGAUGAACAUGAAAACAAGAAAUGAAAUGUAUUUGGAAAGAAAAGGAAUAUAGCAAGACUACUGGUGGUGCAAGAAGUACUGGGAUGAAAUAGGUCACAACAUGAAAAGCCAAAGGUAGACCACCAAUUGAUCCUUAAAAAGAUACAAUGUCCUGAGAAUUUUAAAAACUCUAUAGAUUUCUAUUGUGUAACAUCACAAAAUGCAACUUCAGAACUUUAAAAUAUGGUUUUCUUUCACAGCAAAUACAGAGCAUUGUACUACUAAUAGUAAUACAUAUGCAACUUCUGUGUCUAUCUCAGCACAAUUAAACUCAGACCACAGCAUUUUCUCUGCACUUAUACUAGCAAAAUUUUCUUUUUCUUUUAAUCACUUUGGAAAUUUUCUGGGUCCAGUGUUGAAUAAAGAACAAAAUUUUGCACUAGCUUCCCACAGGUAUGUUAAUUCAAAUUUGGGCUUUUAAAAGAGAUAACUAAAAAAAAAAAAACAGUUACAUAUAUGAAUCCCAAGAUACUUUGUUUACUUUUAUCACACUGCUUUAUAAUCAUAUCAUUCUUUGAGAGAUACAUUUCUUCACCUUAUAAUUCCUGUAAGUGUGGCAUAUUAUAUAUUAUAAGCUAUAAUAAACUGUUAGAAGAAUUAAAAGUUCUCUAUGAGACUUUAUUGUAUAUUUGCUAUAUUCAGGUUAUUAGAAAAUAUCUAACAGACUAUCAAAGAUUGAUUAGUGGUAAGUAAAAUUUGUUUUAAGUUGAUUUGAUCCCUCAGACAUAGGAAAGGACCAUUAAGUAAUUCUCUUGGUAUUUAACUCUAAGGUAUUUAGAUAUUUAUAAAUGUUUCACUGAUUCUACAUAUCUAUCAUCACUAAUUCUACCAUUUCGAUCUGUCACUCAAAUACAUGCUUUAGAUCCAAAAAUGACACUGUGAUUACAUAAAAUAGGCUCAAAGAGAGUGGUUUCAUCCACAAUUCAAAGCUGAACAAUAGUAAGUGGAUGCCAAACAGUCUGCUAAGCUAAAUACAUUGCUGGUUGUCACUUCAGGAAAAAUAGCAUCAAGUGCAGCACCUUGGCUUAAUGAUGACCAAGGAUUUUGGGAAAGGACAGACUCUAUUGGUCUAACAGCAGAAAAUGGAGACCUCUUGGGAAAAGUUUACUGGGGCCAGAGAUGUGGCACAGCAGAUUAAGACACCACUUACAACACCAGCACAUCAGAGACUCCAUUCACGUCCCAGCUCCCUGCUAACAUGCCUGGGAAAGCAGCUGAAGAUGGUCCAGAUGCUUGAGUCCUUGACACACAAAUGGGAGACCAGCAUGGAGUUCCUGACUCCUGGCUUCGGCUUGGACCAGCCAUGACCACUGUGGCUAUUUGGAAAGUGAACCAGUAGAUGGAAGAUUCUUUGUGUGUGUGUUUGUGUGUGUGUAUGUGUGUGUUGUGUGUGUGUGUGUGUCUUCUUUUCUCUCACUGUUCUGCUCUUUUAAACCAAUAAAUAAAUGAGUUUUAAAAUAAUUAAGGUUUUUUUGAUGCACAAAAUUUUGAGACCCAUUAUGCUCUUUAAGACAAUUAACUUCCUCAUUUCUGUCAGUGAUACUAUCCAGUGGUGAACGAAUGAACAAUUAAGGUCAAAUGAAACAUAGGGGCCAGUGCUGUGGCGUAGUAGGUUAACCCUCUGCCUACAGCACUGGCAUCCCAUUUGGGUGCUGGUUUGAGUCCUGGCUGCUCCAUUUCCAAUCCAGCUCCCUGCUCACAGCCUGGGAGAGCAGUGGAAGAUGGUCCAAGUGAUGGAGCCCCUGCACCCAUGUGGGAGACCUGGAAGAAGCUCCUGCCUCCAGGCCAUGGAGCUGUUGCAGCCCAUAAGGAGAGAACCAGCAGAUGGAAGAUCUCUCUCUCUCUAUCUCCCUCUCUGUAACUCUGCCUCUCAAAUAAUAAAAUAAAUAAAUCUUUAAAAAAAAAAGUUCAUGAAAGGGAAACUCUUCAUGUGCUGUAAUUAUUAAACAUACUUUAAUAAAGCACAUUCCAAACAAAAGUAUGUGUUUUUUUUCUUUCUAAAUGUAAACAUUUACUCAAAUCCUUAAUCAUGGAUAUUUAUUUAUUUAUUUUCAAAUUUUAAAAAUUUCUUUAAUUUAUUUCAAAGACAGAGUUACAGAGAGAGGGAGAGACAGAGAGAGAGAGAGUGAGGUCUUCCACCCUCUGAUUCACUCCCCAAAUGGUAUAAUAGCUAGAUCUGAACCCAGGAGCCAGGAGCUUCUUCUGGUUUCCCACAUGGGUACAGGGGCCCAAGUACUUUGGAUCAUCUUCCACUGCUUUCCUAGGUACAUUAGCAGAGAGCUGGAUCGGAAGUGGAGCAGCCAGAACACAAACCGGCACCCACAUGGGAUGCCGAUGUUACAGGCAGUGGCUUUUAUCUGCCAUGCUACAAUCUAUCACGGAAUACAAGCUGGCAUAACUUUGGUCAUUUUUUUUAAAUACAUAUAUUAGUCCUGUUAAUACUUAAGUUCUGUAUAUAUAUUAAAAAACUUUUUUAAAAAAAGCAACUUUAUGCUAAUUGGAUAAUUGAAACUCUUAAAUGCCCUGCAUGUUUUAAAGUCUGAUUUUUGAUUUGUUCUGCAAAAAUUAGAAAACUUCAAAACAACUUCCUAAUUUUAAACCAAGAACUCUGCUUUUGAGAAAACAUCCCAGAAGAUUUGUGUCUAAAUUAAACAGAUCAAUGGUUGAUUUUAACUUAAUUUACUAAACAAUUUCACAUAGCAGUCUAGAGAUUUUGAGCUUCUUUCAUAAGAGUGUAGUCAUCUGGAAGGAUUCUGCUAUUUGGUCCAAUUUCUCUCUGUCUAAUGUUAUUACUAAAGAACAUUGCAGAAACCUAGAAAUUCCUAUUUGUCACAAACCUACUGUUGAAGCAAUUCACAGCAAAUUAAAACAUAUUUUACUGUUUUACAAUUAACUUGCUGUAUUACAUUGUGUGGAAAACAUCAUAACACUUUUUUCAACAUAAAACUAGCAUAUCUGAGAGUCUUAGAUUUAUUCAAUUUCCAGGUCCUGAAUUUUUACUCCUGUGGUUAGGUAGCUCCAUUCUGCUAUAAACUUCAAGGUCUAGUGUGCUCAAGACCUCAUAGAUUUCUGUUUCUAUUGUCUGAUCUCUGCUGAGGUCAGAGAAAGCACGUGUAUUAUGAAGAGGUGACACUUAAUUUUAAUUAAGGUUCUAAAAACACAGUCUAAAUAAAGAAUGACAGUGUCCAUAGCAACAAUAAGAUUAACAUGCUACACAGUGUUUCUACUGUAUAAAUUUACUUAAAAAGAUAAAUUACUUUUAAUGAUGCCUGGAAAAUAUCUAAUUUGAAAUUGUUUCCUUCUCUUUUGAGGCCGAAUUUGUUCUUAGAAAUGUGAAGAUAUGAGAAGACUUCAAAAAGUUCAUGAAAAUGGAAUGAAGAUAAGCUUACUUUGGUGCAAAAUACUUUUGAAAUCUAUGCAUGUUUUUUAUAAGUAUUUUCCAUGAAUUUUUAAAGAUCCCAUAUAUAUUAUAAUGAGACUUAUCUAAUAUUAUCUAAGAAGACUUCAGUGUCUAGCAGUAAAAGUUUAUUUUUUCAAAAUAAUCCUAAUGAUGAUAUUAAUGCACUCAGUUGCAUUCAGUUUUACAGACUUACAAAGUAGCAUGUGCCAUCAAGUUCUCAAUUAUUUGUUACUUACUAGUUGACUUUUGGGGCAGGCAUUUAGAUUGGAGGUCGAGACGCCUGCUCCCACAUCAGAGUAUCUGAUUCGAUUCUGGGCUCCAGUUCCUGAUUCUAGAUCCUGGGAGGCAGAGAUGACAGCUCAAGUAGUUGGGCUCCUUCCACCUAAGUGGGAGGAGUGACUGUAUUCCCAGUUACUGACUUUGACCCUGCCUAGUCCCAGCUUUUUCUGAGCAGGUAGGGAGUGAACCAGAAAAUGGGAGCUCCCUUUCUAUCAAUUUCUCUUUCAAAAUUUUUUUUUGAAAUUAAAAGUUUAACUUAAUCAUAAUAUAGAUAACAUCAAAAUAUAUUAUGCAACUUACCACAUUAUUAUCUACAUAUAUUUAUUUUAUAUAUUUGUAAGUGUAAUUAUGUUUACAAAUAGCAAAACAAAAUUUGAGGACCAGGCAAAAUCUGUUACUUGGUUAGUGACUAUAUAUUAUGAUGGAAUUAAAUUUCAAAAUCGAAUUAUUAGGGUGAAAAAUAAUCUAUGAAUAAUUUUUAUGAUUAAAAAUUAAAGCAAUGGGACCAGUGUCAUGGUGUAACAGGUUAAGAUGAUGCAUGAAAUGCAGGCAUCCCAUAUGGGCACCAGUUUGAGUCCUGGCUGCUCUGUUGCUGUGGAUUUGUUCCGAAAGGAGGAGUGCAAUGGAGGCAAGAGACGCAGAGUCACCACCCAGACACCAGGAGUCGGGUGAAAGCAGGUCAGAGGUGAGCAGCCUGCAGACUCAUUUAUUUCAGUUGGUACAGCAGCUUAAAUAGUCAAGGCAGCCAAUCUAGUCAAGGGGCGAUUUAUGCCCUAACCAAUCACAGCCUGUUGCCAGGCAGGCUCUGUUGCCAGGUGGGUUUCGAAGCCAUGCCUGAGUAACUGACACUUAUUUGCCAGUGGCCAUCUUGGCAUGACCUUCUCAUUCCACCACACUGCUCCACUUCCAACCCAGCUCUCUCCUAAUAUGCUGGGAAAGCAAUGGAGACGGCCCAACUGCUUGGGGCCCUGAACCCAUGUGGGAGCCCCAGAAGAACCUCCUGGCCCCUGGCUUUGACCUGGCUCAGGUCUGGUAGUUACAGCCAUUUGGGAGUGAACCAGCAGAUGGGAGAUAUCUCUCUCUCUCUCAACUCUACCUCUCAAAUAAAUAAAUAAACCUUUAAAACAAAAAACAAAAAUUAAGCAUUUUAUAUAGAAUAUUGAUUUAUAAUAUCUUUAAUUCCAGGUAUAGAUAUUCUGAUUUUACCAGAACUUAAGAAUAUGAAUAUUACUUUACUUCAGAUUUUGAUGGAACAUUAUUUAUAUAAAUUUUCUGUUUCUUUCCACAGCUUAUAUUUAGCCAGCCUCAAAUUUUAUUUAUUAGUCAUAUUUGGAGGUUUUUUUCUUCUACUUUAGCACAGCAAAUUUUAAAAUAAAAAAAGAAAGGAGGAGAGAGGAUGGAAACUGAUCAUCUAUCCAAAAUAGAACACAUACAAAAUCAGCCAACAAAUUGUCAACUGUCUCUUCCACUUUGAUUUUGUGGACUAUGUAAGCAUUACUUACAAGUGAUGCAAUUCCUCUUAUAUUUAAAAAUAUACCCUUAUAUUUGCAUUAAUAGAAAAAUGUUAAAGUAUUAAAUAUUUCUCAAUUCUGGUUAUAUUUAACAAGAAAUUUAUUUCAUAUAAACAUAAUAACACCCAAGUUUAUUCCCAGUAGUCUAUUUCCUAAGUGUUUUCUUCUACUUUAAUUUUUUUAAAGAUUUAUUUUAUUAGGCCAGUGCCACAGCUCACUAGGCUAAUCCUCCGCCUACAGCGCAGGCACCCCAGGGUUCUAGUCCCGGUUGGGGCACUGGAUUCUGUCCCAAUUGCUCCUCUUCCAGUCCAGCUCUCUGCUGUGGCCCGGGAAGGCAGUGGAGGAUGGCCCAAGUGCUUGGGUCCCUGCACCCGCAUGGGAGACCAGGAGGAGGCACCUGGCUCCUGGAUUUGAAUCAGUGCAGGUGCCGGCCGUAGCAGCCAUUUGGGGGGUGAACCAAUGGAGGGAAGACCUUUCUCUCUCUCCCUCUCUCUCUCUCUCUCUCUCUCUCUCUCUCUCUCUCUCUUUUGUGUAAAUAAAUAUAUUUAUAACUUUAUUCAAUACCACAGUUUCCACCCAGCAUUUUUUAUUCAUAUUUAAUGCUACAUAGUGAUUUAAACAAUUUAAUUAAGUUUAUAGCAGAUUUCUGAGUCUCACCACAAUUAACCACAAUUAUUUUGUUGUGUAUGAAAUACAGAGAACUCAAUAAAGCUGUUCUUCUCCAUAGCGCUAGGGUUGUGCUGUUGCCCUCACCCUACUGAUGACAUUGAACCAUUCUUUUGGAUAGACCAAACCAUAGCAUACAGGAGUGUCUGAUAGUCACUUGCCUGUUUGCUAAUUCAAGUGAGCUACCCAGAAAGGAAGUAAACAGAACACAGAAAUUAGAGAGCAGCAUCAAGUCCAGGAUAGGGCCUCCUUUUAUGACACAUUCCAAAAACUUCCUUCCAUAGCAGAUCAGCACUCAGGUGUAAUAUAAACUAUCAGCUAACUAGGAAUACAAACAGGUUUUUACUUUCUUCAGUUAGAGUAAAACUCUUCAUAGUUUAUUCCAUUUGAAGACACAAUAUUUUCGUGUUUUAGUAAUACAAGGAGAAAAACACUUUACAGGUAGCAGCGAGCUCUUCAGAAGGCAUUGUCACACUAGGGUGGAAGAAACCAGAGGUGUUAUGUUCAAACUCAUCUAAUAUGCACAAAAAAUGUGAUGAAAAAAAUGAAAACCACAACGAACAGACAAAUGAUAUGGAUGAAGAAGUUGAACAUAAAAUAUUAACUGCCAAGUGGAAUAUUACAUUUUAGAAUACUUGAUAUAAUUUUUAAAUAAAAGUCUAUUUUGUUUUAAAAGUACAAUUAAGAAAAACAAGUAUUUCCAUUGGAUCUUCAUUCAUCAAUAUUGUAUGUAAUUGUUUACAUAUGUAAACAGUGUGAAGUAUUUGGAAAAUAUUUUUGUAUUACGUAUUCUGAAAAUAGUUGACAUAUUUAAUGAUGCAAAAAUUGAUUUUCAUGAAAUAUUUAACAUGUCACACAUUAGUGCCUGUCAAAAAAAAAAAGAUUUCUUUUAUUUGAAAGUCAGAGUUACACAGAGAGAGGAGAGGCAGAGAGAGAGACAGAGAGAGGUCUUGCAUCCAUUAAUUCACUCCCCAGUUGGCCCCAACAGCCGGAGCUGCGCCAAUCCGAAGCCAGGAGCCAGGAGCUUCUUCUAGGUCUCCCACAUGGGUGCUGGGGCCCAAGAACUAUGGCCAUCCUCCACUGCCUUCCCAGGCCAUAGCAGAGAGCUUGAUCAGAAGUGGAGCAGCUGGGUCUCAAACUGGCACCCAUAUGGGAUGCCGGCGCUUCAGGCCAGGGCGUUAACCUUCUGUGCCUCAGCGCUGUCAUAUUUUAAUUUUUUUAAAAGAUUUAUUUAUUUGAAUGUCAGAGUCACAGAGAGGCAGAGGUAGAGGCAGGAGAGGGAGAGAUGUCUUUCAUAUAUUGGUUCACUUCCCAAAUGGCCCCAAUCCAAAGACAGGAGCCUAGAGCUUCUUCCAGGUCUCCCAUUGCUUUCCCAGGCCAUAGCAGAGAGAUGGAUCGGAAGUGAAGCUGCCAGGACUCAAACAGGUGACCAUAUAGGAUACUGGCACUGCAGGUGGUAGCUUUACCCGCUAUGCCACAGUGCCAGCCCACUACUUAAAUUUUGGCAUAUAAAAAUUGAAUAUAAAAUAACAGGCAACAUACUACAUUGAAUUUUAAAGAUUUACUACUUAAUUCCUUUUCAAUUUACCUAUGAAAUUUCUAUCUAUUAUAUUCAAAUUUUUAUGUCUCCUGUUACUGGCUCAGUAGUAGUAAUUCUAUUUCUAAUUAAAAUUUUUAAGGAUUUUUUAAUUAUUUGGGAGGCAGAGUGACAGAGACACAGAUCUUCCAUCUGCUGGUUCACCGCUCAGAUGGCUGCAAAGGCCAGAGCUGAAUCAGAUGAAACAAACAUCCAAGCUGGAUCAGAAGCAGAGCAGCUGGGACUCAAACCAGCACUCUGAUAUGGAAUGCCAGCAUCCUGCAUGGUACUUUAACCCACUCAGCCACAAUGCCUGCCCCGUGAAUUAGAAUUAUUAGCUAACAAAUGUAGAAUUAGAAAAAGCAUAUCCAGAGAGGUUAAAAUAAACUUUUCUUAAUAUGAAACAGUGACAUAUUUAAAAAUUAUAAUAAAAACCAGGGGGCUGGCACUGUGGUACAGCAGGUAAAGCCACUGUCUGUAGUGCCAGCAUCCCAUAUGGACACCAGUUGGAGUCCUGGCUGCCCCACUUCUGAUCUAGCUCUCUGCUAUGGCCUGGGAAAGCCAUAGAAGAUGGCCCAAGUCCUUGGGCCCCUGCACCCAUGUGGGAGACCUGGAAGAAGCUCCUGGCUCCUGGCUUUGGAUUGGCGCAGCUUCAGCUGUUGCAGCCAUCUGGAGAGUGAACCAGCAGAUGGAAGAUAUCUCUCUCUCUCUCUCUGCCUCUGCCUCUCUGUAAUUCUGCCUUUCAAAUAAAAUAAAUGCAUCUUAAAAAAAUCAAUUUGUUAGUUAAAUAUUUCUUGAUGUACUCUUAAAACAUUGAGCUCCCUUUAUUUAUUACAAACAAUGAAACUGUUGUACAAAACUAAUCAAAUCCCCGUCGAUUCAACUACAUACGUUUUAAAAGUUUUUAAGAUAUGCAAAAUGACGUAAAAAAUGAAAGACUCAUUACCUUAGAAUCAAAAGUAGUUGAUUAUAAACUUUACCCAACCAAGUAGAAGAUAAUUGUCAUUUUGCUAUUGUAUUCUUAGUGGAACAUUGUCAAGAACAUUUGACAUUUCUUAAAUUCUCAAAUUCGCAUCUCAUUUGUCUUUCUUUAUGAAAUUCAUAUUGAUAUGUUAAAUUCCAGAAAGGGAAGAAGAGGAUGGCCACAGUUCUAUUAAAAUACGUGUAUUUAUAAAUGACUUGCAUGGUAUGAAAGGAUCCUUAAUUUUCAAAAGAAAACAUGUUCUGUUUUCCUCAUAUCUUUUACUUUCUCUACUGUCUAAUGAUACCCAACUAAUUUAGGAUCCUAAGGAAUAUAAUUAAAUAAUUUCCCCACUGUUGGAGAAUCAGGGCUCUUAUAUUAGAAUGGGAAACAGCAGAUGAAUAUAAAGCUGCUAAAUUCAAAUAAUUUCAAAAGUCAGAAAUCAUUUUUUUCGCAAAUUUAAAGUGGCAAUCUUUUGAUUAGAAUAUGUUUUCAAUGAUUUUAUAAAAAUUCUACCGAAAGGAAGGGUAUUGAAUUAACAUUUUCAGCCAACUAUGCUUUAAAAGGCUAUGUUUUAUAGAAGAAAAGUGGGAGUAUCAAUAGGUGUGGUGUUACAAAUUUAAAACACUGAGCCUUUCUGGCAUAAUAAAACAAGCUUUCCUUCACCCCUGAGUUGCUCUUACCUAGUCAACCCUAUUAUGAUUUUCCAUUUCAGAGUGAAAGCCUCAAGUUGCAUAGAUCAUUUCAUUGCAAAUGUUAGAUUGUCCUUUAAUUCAUACAGACAAUAGAUCUUCUGAAUAGAGAUGCAUGCUCUGUAUUCCCUAGCUGAUAGCGUUAGAUUCUACAAGAAUCAUGGGAAUUUUUAAUAAUAGUUGAGGUUCCAUUAAACUUAGUUCUCAAAUGACUUAGAGUUUAUUCAUCAAAUAAUUCAGAGUAUAAAAGUAGCACAUAAACAUUAAUUGAACAGCCAUUAAGCAGUAUGACUGUUUGGUUUUGGUUGAUAGAGGACAUAAAGCUUUGUACCCUGUGGUGAAAAACAAUUAGGCCUUAUGAUGCACAUGUCAUUAAAUAUUAUACUACCACACUUAGACCAGUUUCACUUUACAAAUCAGCAGUCAGCUGUAGUCAGAAGCUUGCCCAAGUCAUAGGAAGUCAUAUUUUUAUUGCCAUGUCUUAUCUGCUUAUAAAUGUUGUCAUGUGCCUUAUGCUAAUGGCAAUGACUAAUGGUUGUCUUUAUAACUUCAUUCAAUCUCAUAAAAAAGCUUCCUCAGGAGAUACCAAUCAUAACUAGAGUGCUGCUUAAACUAUUUUUCUGAAACAAAAUAGAAAAAGCAAUUACCUACAAAAAGUUGAAUAGAUAACUUAUUUUGUUCAGAAAAUAUCUGACAACUUCUAUUGUUGAAUUUGCCAUGAGGCAAAUUGAUAUCCCAAAUAAGAAUGCCUACUAGGUGCCUAUAUGUAUGAUGAUCUAACCCUUUAAAGUUGUUCUGCUCAUCUGCACCUAGGUGAAGAUGUACGAUAGAAAAACAAGUUGGAAUAAAUUUGAACGUGGUUGUCUGGAAGCUCAAUGUUUCUAACAAUGGAGGUCAAGAAGAGAAUUUGGAUUUGAUCAAUACUGAAAAAGAAGUUAAUUGAACCAGAAAAUUAAAAAUGAUUUCCUAGAAGGGAUGAGAUUUCAAUCAAUGUCAGAUAUGGACAAAGCUCCCUGGUAGUGCACCUGGGAAGGCAGCAGAGAACUGCUGGGCCCCUGGACCCAUGUCGAAGACCUGGAUGAAUCUCAUGGCACCUGGCUUCCACCUGACCCAGCUCCAGCCAGUGCGGCCAUUCAGGGAGUGAACCAGCAGAUGGAAUAUCUACCUUUCUCUCUCUCUCUUCUUUUCUCUCUCACUCUACCUUUAAAAUAAAUAAAUCUUUUAAAAAAUAAAAGCUUUGGUACCAUGCAUAGAUGUGUGUAGGAUUUGGAUAGUAAGGGAGGAAGUGGGAGGCAUCAUACAGUGCCUAGUUAUGGACUUGUAAAACAUUUUGAGUGUGAAACAGCUUUGAUAAUCAAGACAGGCACUUAACUGGUAUCAGGGAAGCAGCAGGUAAGAUCAAGAAGACGGAGCUGGAGCAGAAACUGUUCUAUCAGUAUGGGAUGCUUGCAAGCUCAAGUGCUACCUGGAGAAGUCCUGGUUGCUCACCUCCAUUGAUUGCUUGUGGUUAGUUGAUGUGACAUGCUACCUUAAAGGAGCUGUCGGUGAACUCUUGAGUCCAUGCAUCUUGUAAUAGAUGCAUGGAAUUCAUAACGAGAUCAAGCCUCAAGACUUCCACAUUGCUAAGUGGAAACAGCAGUAAUCAUAUUGGCUGCAAAAUAACCUAGGGAACUGAAGUCUUGAGAACGUCUAGUUUAAGGAAUAUAUCUACUCGUCCACUAAUGAGUGGCUGGCUGUUGAGCCUCCCUCUCAAGGAGCUGAUUGCCUCACUCCAGACAAGCCUGAUUAGCAUCAGGGUAAAACAUACCUAAAUAAAUAAUCCCAUAAUUCUUGAUAAGCAAUGAUUGAACAGGGACAUGUCUGACAUAGUUUAAUUCACAGUGGUAUACACAAAAAAACCUGCCAAUAAAAUGAAUUAACAUGUUAAGGAUGUUUAAGUGUGGAUCAUCACGUCGAAUGGUGCAAUUGUCAUCUCUAGCACAGUAGUCACUGGUAUUCAGUCAGUGGUGUGCUGGGGCUGGCACACACAAGCUCAUGAAAUCUGAAUCUCAACUAGGUGAGAACUUCAGUGAGUCUGUUUAUACCAUGGAAUUUGGGCAAUGUGAGAAGCAGAGCUUAUUGCUUUUCCUUUUUCAGAGAGCCAGUGAGCCAGUUUACCAGCACACCACUGAGUUACAUGCACAUUCUAGAGAAAAGGACGCAAUAUAAUUGUAUGCCACAAUAAUUAGGGAUGUCUCAGGCUGAGUAAAUAUUUGAAGAAUACAGUGCUUAAGAAACAAUGUAUUUUGUUAGACUGUCAAGGCUGAAAUCUGUUAUAAGCUAUCAGUUAAUGGAAGGUAACUAUGCCUUCGCCGCUCAUCCUCACAAUGAGAAUGCAAUACUACUACCCCACAGUUUUGUUUUGAUGACUAACGGAAUUAGUAUAAGUGAUACACUUUAAAAAGUGCCUGAAGUGCUGAAGGUGUUACCUUAAACAUAUCCUAUUUAUAUCAACGGGAUAUGAGACUAUACAACUUCUUACAGUCUUCUAAAAGACUUUGCCUAAUUUCAGUGUUAUUUUCCUUUUUGAGCUUUUAUAUCUUUUAGAAGCCCAUAUUCGACCUCCACAGGUUUUCUAAAGAUUUGUUAAGUGAAAGCACAUCAAAUCACUUUGAAAUGGAUAAAACACUAUGUAAAUGAAAGGUGGAAUAAUUAUGUUAAAGGCAUCAUCUUGAAUUGUCUUUAUACUGCAUCUUUGAAAUGAGCAUCGGAUUUUUCUCUAGGCAGUUACUGCUUCUACAGAAACAAACACAGAUGGUGACCAAACUUCCUAGUGAAUAGUUUUAGGCAACAUCAUUUAUCAAAAUACCACAGGUCACUAAAUGCACAGACUCAAAACAAGCCCACCUCUCAGUGUCAGGCUAGCAUGGUAAUUUAGGCAAAUAACCCUCUGUUUGAUAGUUCAAGUGUUUUCUGAUAUGUAAAAUGCAUUGGCACAACAAACAGAAAGUCUUACAUGUAACUAAGGUUUAUAAAAUAGGAUAUUAAGAUUGUAGUUUUGUAGAGAAAAAAAGAGUCAGUUUGUUUUCUUUGGUGAGCAUUUCUAGCCAAAUUUCAAACUAAUAUUGUUGGUUUUAAGUGUAGAUGUCCCUAUUACCUAUUGACCUUCCCUCCAAAGUAAAGAAAUGGGGACACAUGUCUUAAAGAUACUUUUUAGACCUACUAAGAACCCAGUCUUCAGGGUGCAAACUUCCUUGGUUCAGUGAGAGAGUCCUGUGGUUUCUAGAACUUAGCCUCUCCUAAUUGAGUUUUGUCCUUGUUCUGAGCCCCUUUGCCCUUGAACCCAUUUCUUGCCCUUCCUAGCUCAGCGAAAGGAGAGGAAUCCCUGAGGCUUCCUCCCCAGAGCUGUUCCAGCUGGCGAGUAGCUGGCUUCUGCGCCCAGGGAUUCAGGGCUGGAGACACUGGCAGGUAAUUGAAGACAGAAGAAAGCAGAAGACAGGGCCGUUCUCUCAACGCUGUCUUUGCCUCCUGCACCUUCUUUGGCAGCCCCUAUGUCUUCCCUGUACCACAACCCACUCACUCCUGCCACAGUGUAGCUCCUACCCGGAAACCAAGGCUCCUAUCUAGAAGUCACAUCCCCUUGUCCUGUGUCUUUUCAGCCUGGAGUUAUGGCCUGCUCCUGUUAUGGAUUUCUGAGCUGUCACACCUUUCUCUGGUUGGUCUCCUUUCUUUCCUCAACUGUUUGCUGCUUUACCAAUUGUCUGUUUUAUAAUUCUCCCAUUUAAAUACUUCAGCUGAAUUCUGUUUUCCUUAUUGGGCCCUUAUUGAGCCAAGCUCUGACACAGGCCUCCUCCUCAUAAUGAAUUCUUGGCAAAGCAACAUUGUUGGAAGCUUAGCUCUUCACUACUCAUGGUAAUUACCUUAGAAAUCCUUCGAGAGCAUGCAACCGCUGUUCUCUUCGCAGCGCUUCCUUGUAGUUAAAUGAUGAUUCUACCUUGAGCGUUCUCUGUGCCGUGGCCUUGAGAUAGAAGCAGAGAGAAAGUAUUUUUAUUUCUGCUAACAAUGAGUAUUUUUAAAGACAUUCAACCAGUACCCGUUAUUAUUAACCCACAUGGUACCUCUUCUUCAGGCCCCAUUCCUCACAUACUUUGCAGGGAGUUCAUUCACAGCUAGUCAGUCUAUCAAAUAUCGGAGCCCUGCUUCCUAUGUAACAAACGUCUCCAAGAACUAGUUCCCAUAUGCAAGUGACAGGAAUGAAACACAGAUAUGUUAUCUGCAACCACUCUAAAAAACUCUUCCUUCUUGUUUUCUUUCAAAGAAGGAUAUUUGUGUCCACAAAACAACUUCCUAUCUAUCUUAAAAAUUUAACCGAGCUUCAAAAUGCAAGGGGUCUUCAAAAAGUUCAGGAAAAAUGUAUAUUAUGAAGACUAUUCAUGGGUUUCAAAAAAUUUUACACAAAAAUAUUUGUCUUUUAAUUCUAUUUUCCAUGAAAUUUUGAAGUACAUACAUACACACACACACACACACACACUUUAUAUCCUGAAUCCAAAUGUAUGGGGCUGUCAUUGUGGUGCAACAACUUAAGCCACCACUAGCAUCCUAUUCCAGAGUGCUGGCUUGGGUCUUGGCUGAUCUGCUUCUGGCUCAGCUCUCUAAUAUGCUGGGAAAGGCACCGCAAAAUGGCCCAAGUACUUGGGCCCCUGGGCCCCUGUCUCCAAUGUGGGAGGCCAGCAUGGACUUCCUGACUCCUGGCUUCAGCUUGGCCCAGCCCAUGCUGCCACAAUCAUUUGGAAAGUGAACCAACAGACGGAAGAUCCCCCCCCCUCUCUCUGCCACUAUUCCUUUCAAAUAAAAUAAAUAUUCUUUUAAAAAAUGUUGGCACUAGAUUUAUACAUCCCAUGGGUUUUUUAAACCUGUUUUGGAUUUUGCAUACUGACACAUACAUUUCUACGUUUAAAAAUAUAAUAUUUUUAAAGGUUUUCCAUAAGUUUUUUCAAACAUCCCAUCCUAUUGUAUGGCUCCCUCCUCCUGAAAUGAUGUGCUUUUUCUUUUAUGUUUUUCAUUGUGUUAUGAAUUCUCAGCCAAAAAAAAAAAAAAAAACCCACAUCUUUCAAGGAGCGCUUCCUCAAUUCUCCCACUCAGUCUGGGCUUGUUCACGCUCUCACAGUGCAUGAUAUGAAAUGAUACAUUUAUAUUUCUCUGUUUCACAUUGGACUCUAAACUCCUUAAUGAAAGUGCUAUAUUUCAUCUCUGUACUCCUAGUGCCUAGUAAUUUACUUGGAAUUUAGGAAUGCUUAUAAGUGUGUGAGUGUGUGUGUGUGUGUGUGUGUGUGUGUGUAGAGAGAGGGAGAAACUUUCUGAACAACAAAACAUUCCGAAACUCUCAUGUUGCACAAAAAUUAGUACUAGAAUGAUGAAAUAUGAGGUUUUAAAGUUCUUUAGUACUAGAAAUAUUUUGCUAAGAAAAAUACAGCUAGCAAUUUCACAAAACUCCCAUAAAAAUAUUUCUGUCUUUGGUGAGCAACAUUAAGAUGAACCUAAGGAAAACAGGCACGUGAAGGGAACGAUAGCACUUUAACAAGGUUAGUACAAAGCUGCUCAAAUGUUUACAUUUUACCAUUCUUCUCUAAAAGCUGCAUCCUCUUCUAUGUUUGUCUUCCUAAAUUGAAACCCUUAUUUUCAGUGUCCAUCUAAAUAUAUUCUCACUGCCUCCACCAUCAAUUAAGUAAAUGCCAUGUCUCUAACUCAUUUCCUUUCAAAAGGAUGAGCUCAGCCGCGCUCUGUGUAUUCCAUUUAUAAUGGCUCUCUUUGUACAUUUUGGUCCAUUGCCUCCGGUGUCAUUUCUCAUGCAUCUGUUUAUUCUGCCCAAUUAGAUUCAGAGCUUUGCGGUCAGAGGUACUUUUUCUUUUAUAUCUUCUCACAGCAUGCUCACAGCAUAGGUUUGAGAACUAAAUGUCUUCUACAUUUCACCAAUAUCUGUGCUGGUAUUUUUAGUUCCUUUUCAAAUGAACGUACUGGUGUUCUCACUGUGUAGAGGGAACCACGUGCAUUUGAUUACUCACACAGGGCAUAGCUCUGGGAUGAUUUUUUUAUUCCAGAUCAGAGAUUAUGUGGGCUAUUUGAGGAGCACAGGGACCCCAGGACUCUUUGUCAUGUUUCUUUAAAACCAGGAAUAUCCUUAAGCUUCUCCUACUAAGGGACUCACUGUUGCCCUGCUAACAGUUUCUAUCAUUGCUAAUUCAUUCUAUAUCAGAAAAUCUGUUCAUUUCCAUCAUAGUAUUCAUGAUGAUUUAUAAUUAUACACAUAAGGGAUGACAGAAUAAGUUAGAAAUAAAUAAAAGCAUCCAUGUAUAAAAUAUGUAGUAUAAUGAUGUACAAAAAUCUACAAAAUAACCCAUAUGCAUGAGUGCAUAUAUGUGUGUGUGUUAUGUUUUCAUUUUAUCUUCACCUCCACAGAUUUUCUUCACCACUAAACAUGCGAGCCUUUCUGAAAGCCUGGCACAUAGUAGGUACUCACAAAUAUUGGUUGAAUAAAUAAGUGAAUGAAUUAAUCUAUGAGAACAAAUAAGUAUUUCUACUCUUUGAUUACCAAACAAAAGUGUAUGGGAGGGCUAACAUUUUGGGUAGCAGGUUAAGCCACCACCUGCUAUGCUAGCAUCUUAUAUGGGUGCCAGUUUUGGCUGCUCUACUUCCAAUUCAGUUUCCUCCAAAUGCACCUAAGAACGCAGUGUAAGGUAGUCUAAGUACCUUGGCCCCUGCAUCUACAUGGGAGACCUGGAUGAAGCUCCUGGCUCCUGGCUUCAGCCUAGCCUAGCCCCUGCCAUUGUGGUCAUUUAGGGAAUGUGCCAGUGGACGCAAGAUCUCUCUCUCUCUCCCUCCCUCUCUGUAACUCUGCCUUUCAAAUACAUAAGUCUUUUUUAAAAAAAUGUUUAGAGGUGAGAAUUUGAAGCAGAGUGGAAAACGAAUCAAUUUUCUUUUCACUAUUCUAAAAUUUCAUAGGUUUAUCAGGAUUAUAAUCUGUCUCUUUCCAGACAAAAACUCCCAGAUUCCUCUGUUUUUAUCUGAAAAGAAGAAAGGCAAAGGCCAAAAAAUCUCUACUGUCCCCUGUUGGUACUAUCCAUCAAUAAAAACUACAAAGAUUUUAUUUUUAAAAAUCCAGGGAUUUCCAGCAAAAAACCUAAACUGACUGCACAUUCCUGCAUUGACUAUUACAAAUUCCUAGUUUUUUUUGUUUGUUUGUUUGUUUGUUUUUUUACCAGCACAGCCCUGUAAUUGUCAGAACAUAUCUAUAACAUACACACUAGUGUUUACCUGAAUAAAAGAUACUGGUGAUUAAGAAGAAAAAGUGGGUCAUAAAUACAGGAUUUGGUCAUGGAUGUGGUGGACUGCAAGGACUGUGACCUAGACUGUCUGGUUCAGGUCUUGGUUCCACUGUUUUCUAGCUGUGAGGCUGUGUGCAAGUUAUGAAAUCUUACCUGCUUCUAUAGUCUCCUUUGUAAAAUGGAGAUUAUAAUAGCACCUAGUCCACAGGACUUUUUUUUUAAAUGAGUUAUUUGAAAAAGCAGAGCAACAGAAUUAGAAAUGCAGAGAGAGAAAGAGAGAGAGAGAGAGAGAGAGAGAGAGAUCUCCAAUCUGCUGGUUCACUCUCUCAGUGCCCACAACAGCCAGGGCUGAGCCAGGCUAAGAGCUCCAUCCAGGUCUCCCAUGUGGGUGGCAGAGACUCAAGGACUUGAGCCAUCACCUGCUGCCUUCCAGGAUGUGCAUUAGCAGGAAACUAAAUGGGAAGCAGAGGUAGGACUCCAUCCCAGGCACCCCAAUGUAAGAUGCAGGGAUCCCAAGAGGCAGCUAAACUGGAUGCACCGCAACACCCACCGAGGGCUUCUUUAUUAGGACUAGAUCAAUCAAAAUAUGUAAAGCACUUGGAAUAUUGCCCAGCAUCUAGGAAGUGCCCAGUAAGUGUUCACCAUAUUCUUAUUCUCCAAUAUGCGAUGUAGGCACCCUAAGUAGCAUUUUAAUCAUGCUGAAUACCCACUCCAUGUCCUCUUGAUAAACAAGUGUUCUUUAAUUUUGCCCCUAACAGAAAAUGUUUCCAUGUAUAUCUUUCAAAUACCUAACAGUGAAGAUUACUCAUUCAUUCAGUUUCUUUCAUGUCAAAAGUCUGUAGAAUUGUUCAUAACAAUCAACUUUUUAGUACCCCCUAGCUUCACUCAGGAAUCUCAACUGACUUAACAAUGAUUUUCAAAGUUAUUCACCUGAAAGAUAUUUAUAUUCCCCAUAGUUUAAAUUUCUUUGACUUAUCAGAAAAAGCAUUAUGCGGGGGAGCGCAUCGUGGCACAGCAGGUUAAGCCACUACCUGUGAUGCCAGCAUCUGUUAUGUGCACCUAUUUUUGUCCCCACUGCUCCACUUCUGGUCCAGCUCCUAUUAAUGUACCUGGGAAAGCAGUAUAGGAUGGCCCAAGUGAUUGGGCCUGUGCACCCAUGUGGGAGACCUGGAAGAAUCUCCUGGCUCCCAGAUUUAGCAUGGGAGACCAGGAGAAGCACCUGGCUCCUGGCUUUGGAUCAGUGCAGUGCGCCGGCAGCAGCGGCCAUUGUGGGGUGAACCAACCGAAAAGGAAGACCUUUCUCUGUCUCUCUCUCACUGUCCACUCUGUCUGUCAAAAAAAAAAAAAAAAAAAAAAAAAAAAAGAUAUGUCUUUACCCAUCUUUGUAACUUGCCUUUCAAAUGAACAAUUACAUCUCUAAUCAAAAAAAGAAGAAGAAGAAGAAAAAAAAAGGAAAAAGCAUUAUUGGAGAUGUCAUUGUUGUGCACUGGAUUAAGUUGCUGUCUGCAAUGCCAACAUAUCAGAGUGCCAAUUCAAGUCCCAGGUGCUCUGCUUCAAAUCCAGCUCCCUGCUAAUGCACACGGGAAAGCAGCAGUUGGGGCCAAAGCACUUGAGCCCCUGCCAACCAUGUGGCGGACCCGGAUGGAGUUCCUGGCUCCUGGCUUCAGCCUGUUCCAUCCAUUGCAGUUGCAGCCAUCUGGGGAGGGAUCCAAAGGAAAAUCUCCCUGUCUCAUUCUCUCUCUCUGUCAUUCUGCAUUUCAAAGAAAGUACUUGUUUUAAAAAAGGCAUUAUUAAAUUUUACAUAUAUCUCAACACCCUCCAUCUUACUGCACCCUUUCCCACUUGUUUAUUCUUUAAGAAUGUGUGUAUACACACACGUAUAUAUAUAACGAAUAUUUAGUUUUAUUCUAGUACAGGCAUUACACCGGGGACUCAGUGAAAAAAAAAAAAAUUGAAAAACGGCAGUGAGCAAGACAAAGUCUCUGUUUUCAUGAAGUCUAGACCUUUGAAAAGAUUUGAAACAAUAAACACAUUACAUUUCAAUUACAAACUGAGAUAGUUCUUAUGCCUUAAAUAAGCUUGAGCCAGAAUAAUGGGGGGUGGGGAGUGGAGAGGCUGAGGGCUGGAUUAGGCCAAUUGCAGAAGGCCUCUCUGAGGAAGUGACAUUGAACACAUGAAGAAAGCAAAGAAACAAGCUGUUCAGAUUUCUAAGAAGAGAAGUGCUUCCCAGGCAGGAAGAACAGCAGUGCAGGAGCUGCGCUAUAGAGAAGCACACAUACUGUGCUAUACACCGCUGAGUCGGGAGCUGGGCACUGGUGAGCAAUGGGGAGAAUGGCCUGCGAAGAGCUUGGGGGGACAGGUGUUUCUCCCAUCAUUCAGUGUUUUCUGACCUGGACAUUCUCCAGGGCACUGUGGAAAGGUAUGUACUGAGUUGGAUUUGUGGCACAGAAGGUGCCGCCACUGUUUGAGAUGCCAACAUCUCAUAUCAGCAUGCCAAUUCGAGUUCCAGCUACUCCCUUCCCAUCCAGCGUCCUGCUGAUGGACCUGGGAAAGCCGCAGAUGACCGAAGUACUGGGGUUCUUACCACCAAUGAGGGAGACCAAGGUGGAAUCCCAGGCUCCUGGUUUUGACCUGGACCAGCCUGGCUGUUGCAGACAUUUGGUUAGUGAACCAGUGGAUGGAAGAUCUUUCUCUCCCCCACCCCACUUCCUCCCUCUGUGUGUUUGGGGGGAGGGAGAGACUCUGCCUUUCAAAUCAAUUAAUCCUUUAAAUAUUAUUUAAAUAAAGAGGGAGUAUGAGACAAUAAUACAUGGUUCAAAGAUAACCAUGGUUGCUAUUUAGAAAAUGUGUGUGAAGUAGUAAGACUAAAAUAAAUAACCUUGCAGAAUAAAUGAAGUUAAGAUUAUGCAAGCCUGAUUGGAGUACUUCCAGUUAAAGGUACUUGCAAUACAAAUGUAAGCGUUAGCAAUGUAUGUAUGGAACAUCGUAUAUGCGAGAGGCCUAGAAGAAAAAAUAAGAGAAUUUCAUAGUACAUUGGAUUGGAAAGGGAGAGACCAUGUUUUUGGAUAAUAAUUUUAUUUAUUGAGAAGGAAAAAAAAAUGAGGAAGUAGCAGGAGUUCUGUCUUGGUAAAGUUAAUUUCAUGAUACUUACGUGACACCUCAAUAGAGAUGUUAAAUAGGCAUUUGGUUACACUGAUGAGAAGUUGCUGUAUAAAUGAAUCAAAAAUAGCCUCUGUGUAUUGGACUCUCGGUUGCUUUUUCUUCUCUGCAAGAUGAGACUUGUUUAAAUAAAAAAAAGCCCACCAGAGGAAAAAAAAUCAAAUUUUUACACAUGCAUUUAUUUGUGACAUAGCCUACCUACUGUCUAUUUUAAGAUAGGAUUAUACUCUGUCUCCUGCUUCGAUACAAAAACGGUGUUAGAAUGUCUACCGUCUUCUCUGUUUAUGUCAUUUUUCCAUAUUUUUGCUUUGCCAUAUAUUAUUAUCUGAUAGAGUGCUAAGUAAAUAUUUUAUAAAUGACUGAAUAAACAAAUGCAUGAAUGGACAUUAUGACCAUAUUAGGAUUACUAUGGAAAACUGUAGUUACGUUUACAUGGUGAUAGAAGACCUCAGGUGGUUGGGGAAAGUUAGGAUAUUUUUGUUUUCUUGAUGUUAUGACUGUCUAUUCCUUCUUUUCAAUGAAGUUAGAUCGUACUCUACCCUAAAUAAAAAUAUUGGAAUAUUGGGCUCAUAUACAUUGUACCACAGGAACUAUACAGAUAACAGAAUAUGAAAAUAUGUCAAUUAUAAAUGCUGCUAGUUUCAUAAAAUCUCAAGAUGGAAUAACACUGAGGACUUAUUAAAAAUUUAUCUCAUGGGGCCGGCACUGUGGCAUAGCAGUCAAGGUUGCCCUCUGCAGUGCCAGAAUCCCAUAUGCUUGCUGGUUUGAGUCCCAGCUGCUCCACUUUCCCAUCCGGCUCUCUGCUAUGGCCCAGGAAAGCAGAAGAUGGCCUGAGUCCUUGGGCCUGCACCUGUGCAGGAGUCACAGAGGAAGUUCCUGGCUCCUGGCUUCGGAUUGGCCAAGCUCCAGCUGUUGCAGCCAUUUGGGAGUGAACCAGUGGAUGGAAGAACUCUCUCUUUCUCUCUGCCUCUGCCUCUCUGUAACACUUUCAAAUAAAUAAAUAAAUCUUAAAUGUAUCUCAUAUCAUUAUAAUAAUUUAAUUAUACCUCUUUAGAAUAAAUUUAAAACAAAGAAAAAUGGUAUUUUUAUUCGAUUCUAAGACCUGAAUUUAAGUCGCCUCUGAGACAACUUUCUGUUCUUAAUUACAACCUUCUUUUUGUGAUAACAGCACUGUUAGCUUUUGAUUUUCAUUAGGGGGACAUGGCUGUUCCAAACACAUUAGGAGUUAGAUCACUGUUUCCAUAUGUUUUUUGAAGAUACUUGUUCAUAAUUCACACAUUGGCAAUUAAAAAGAAAAAGAGAAAAACUAACAUUACAGAAGUCUAUGACAUCUAUAUUAUGGAAUGUAAUGACUAAGAUAUAAUAAGUGUUCAUAAAUACUUCAUUGCAAAACUAAAUAAAUGCAAUGAAUAAAAGAUCAUGGGUGUUAACUGAGUACAAACUUAAAACUGCAACGGAUGGUGAAGCACAGAAACAUAGAAGCAUAGAAACAUAGAAGCAUAGAAACGGAUGGUGCAGCAUAGUUAGUUUCCUUAACUAUGAACCAACACUGGUUGUAAGACACAUUACCUAUUUAAUGAAAAUCAUUCAGUAGAAAAGAUGAAUAAUCAGUAAUUUUAUAUUGAUUAUGAGAAGCACCUCAGGUCAAAUUUUAAAAUUAAAUAAGUGCAUCUUAGAAAUGAUUUUUUAAAAUCCUGCAUCACAACUAAUACUUGAAAAGAACUCAUUUAUAUUGCAGACAGGAAUGGUUAACAAAUGUUAGAGUUCUGCAUUUAUGUUAUGUAAUUAUCUACAAUUAUAGAUAAUUACAUAAUAACUUCCACAAACAUGUUUUAUUGACAUUGAUGUCUGUUUGUGAAAAUACUGAGCGAGGUUGGUCUCUCCUUUGAGAUAUAAAAAGUAAAUUUAUAAACUUGUAUAUGGAAAUCCCCACAUACCAAUUUAUUGUUGCUAUAAGUAAACAUGUCAAAUGACUUAGUAUUUAUAGAAAAAUUUCACUUUCAUUUUUCAAGGAUCUUAUUCCUUAAAAUCAUAAGAGCAAAUUUAUGAAGAAAUUAUAUAUAUUUCAAUGCAUAUUCUAUCUGUCCUUUCUUGCUGAAAACUUAGACAAAGAAGAGCCCAAAUAUCUAGUAAACUUUACUGGUUCUUAAAAACUAUAAAGUGGCCGGCGCCGUGGCUCACUAGGCUAAUCCUCCGCCUUGCGGCGCCGGCACACCGGGUUCUAGUCCUGGUCGGGGUGCCGGAUUCUGUCCCGGUUGCCCCUCUUCCAGGCCAGCUCUCUGCUGUGGCCAGGGAGUGCAGUGGAGGAUGGCCCAAGUGCUUGGGCCCUGCACCCCAUGGGAGACCAGGAUAAGUACCUGGCUCCUGCCUUCAGAUCAGCGCGGUGCGCUGGCCGCAACGUGCCGGCCAUGGCGGCCAUUGGAGGGUAAACCAACGGCAAAAAGAAGACCUUUCUCUCUGUCUCUCUCUCACUGUCCACUCUGCAUGUCAAAAAAAAAAAAAAAAAAAAAAAAAAAAAAAACUAUAAAGUGAAUAUUCCUGGUUAGUGAAGGUAAUGUUGUAGAUGCCAAAGAACUUUAUAGAUUUUCUAAAUAAUUUAAAAUCCAUAUUACAAAAGGGCAUAUUGUUUUUCUAAAAGUUUUUUUUUCGUUAAUUGGAAAAAGAGAGAUACCCCAUCCACCACUUCACUCCCCAAAUGCCCACAGCUGCUUGGGUAGGGCCAACCAUAGACAUGAGCCCAAAAUUCAAUCCAGGUCUCCCACAUGGGUGACUGGGACCAUCAUUUGCUGCCUCUCAUGUGUGUAUUAGCUAUAAGCUUGGCCAAUCACUACCCUAAAAGUCAUAUUCUUCAAACUCUGGAGUUCAAGAAACAAUAAUCAUCUUCCUAAUAAUGAUCAAUAAACAUGUAUGGAAUGACCACUCCAUAAUUACUUAAUUGUAUUAUUUUUGCAUAUCCAUAAUAAGGCCCAUUUGUGAGAACUUUUAAAACUUCAUAGAAGGGGCUGGGACCAGUGAUAUUGCACAGUGGGUUAGGCUAUCAUCUACACAAUGGGUCAGGUUAGCAUCCCAUCUGGGCUAGGGUUUGUUUCCCAGCUGCUCCACUUCCCAUCUGGCUCCUUGCUCAUGUGCCUGGGAAAGCAGCAGAGGAUGGCUCAAGUCACUGGGCCAAUGCACCCACAUGGAAGACCCCGAAGAAGCUCUUGGCUCCUGGCUUUGGCCUGGCUCAGCCGCAGUCAUGUGGCCACUUGGGGAGUGAACCAGCAGAUGGAAGAUGUCUCUUUCCUUCUCUGUAACCCUGCCUAAACAAAAAAAGCUCAUACAAAAUGGGAAUUAAAGGUAUUUAUUUUGGUGCCAUAAACUUGAUAUCCAUGCAUAGUUUUGAUAAUAUACAUUUUCAUUAACUUUUCAAUGACCCAUUGAAUGCAUUGAUUUUAAGAUUUUUGCAGCAAAAUAAGUUUAUCUUAUAACUGUAUUUUCCAUAAACUUUAAACAUCAGCAUAUAAUUUUUAUAGUUAUAUAUAAUAAAAUAUCCUCUAGAUGUGAGAAGUAGACCAUGCAUCUUUUUAGACUCACAAAAAUAACUACAGAAGAAACAGAGUAGUUGUCCUCUGUGGGACAGACACAUGCUGUACAAUGUGGCCUGGAAGCCAUCUGUACACUCCUCUAGAUCUGUGAGCUAAGGACUCUGGACACAAAAUGUUUUAAAGCACAUGGUACUCUAGGGCCUUGUUUAAUGUUCAGUGUACAAAAAAGUACCUGUGUUUACAGUACCUUCCAUCUGCUAGUUCACUCCCCAAAUGAUCGCAAAAGUCAGAUCUGGGCCAGGCCAAAGUCAGGAGUAGUAACUAAAUUCUGGUUUCCCAUUUGGGUAGCAGGGGCUCAAGCAAUUGAGCCAUCCUCUUCUGCUUUCUCAGGUACAUAGCAGAGAGCUGAGUGGGAAGCAGAGGCACCAGGACUCAAACAAGCAGUCCAACAUGGGAUUCUGGAGUCCCAAUUUCCAAUUUAAUGCACUAUGCCAUAAUAUCCCUCCCUGAAAUCGAUUUUCAUAUGAGGCUUAGUAGUUGGUUCUGAGAGCAAUUACAGAAGUAGAUUAGAACAUGUGUGGUAGAACAUGAUGGAAUUGUGUAAAUAUGCCUACUUUGGAGAAGUAAAUAUAACUUCUAAUAAUUUCUAUUUUAAAAGUAUUCUUGGCACAUUUAGUGUAAAGUUCAUGGGGAAAGGCAUUAGAAGAUAAAUUUUUGUGCAAAAAUUUGAAAUCCUUGUAUUUAAUGGAUCAUCAACAACUUCAUAAAAAUUCCAUAUUAUGAAAAUACUUUACAUAAAAGUCAAAACUUUUUGUACCAAAAUAAACUUGUAAUUCCAUCUUUAAAUUCACUUUUAGAAGUACUAUCUUUCAAUGAAUUCAAGCAAAUAAUUUAAAUAUGUAAAAUCCUCAGGUUAAAGACUGCAGAUAAUAAGGGAAAUAAACAAAUAAGGAAGUGAUGCCCGAUAUUCUACUUAUCCAAAGUAAAGAUGAACUCCAAAAAAUUUAUCACAUGAAACAAACAAACAUGAGGCUGCUGUUACUGACAGGAUGGUGAUAGGCAUUGUCAUAUCUUUUAAUAUUUUGUAAACUCCCGAGAUGUUCCUUGAUGUAUAUUCUACACACUUUAGGACUUCCCACACACAUUAAAUAAUUUAAAAAUAGACACAGUUUGACUUCAAUCAGAUGUGGGUUUGAAUAUUAGACCAUGUAUGGAAAAGUUAUCUAACAUGUCUAAGUUUCAGUUUUUUCAUCCAUAAAAUUUUAGAAUUGAUAACAUUAAGUGUGACAGUGCAAAGAAUGCAUUUAGCUCAAUACGUAGCACAACCCAAUUAAAUGGUAUUGAUUUAUUUCAUAACUAGAAUUUAAACAUUCUAAUUUUUUUAACUUGUGAAAGCACUGUUCAUCUCUGUCUUUGUGUAGAACUUUUAUUAAUUCCUUCCACCAGCAAUCUAACCAGUAUGUACUGAAUAUAUCUUAAGUAUAGACUACUAUUGCAGAGAGUAGGGAAAACAAAGUUGAAAUAGAUAUGGUAUACUGGGGCCAGCGCUGUGGCACAGUGAGUUAAUGCCCUGGUCUGAAGUGUCAGCAUCCCAUAUGAGCGCUGGUUCUAGUCCCGGCUGCUCCUCUUCCGAUCCAGCUCUCUGCUAUGGCCUGAGAAAUCAGUAGAAGAUGGCCCAAGUCCUUAGACCCCUGACCCAUGUGGGAGACCAGGAAGAAGUUCCUGGCUUCUGAACUGCUUAGCUCUGGGCGUUGCGGCCAUCUGAGGAGUGAACCAGUGAAUGGAAGACCUCUCUCUCUCUCUGUGUCUACCUCUGUCUGUAACUCUUUCAAAUAAGUAAGAAUAAAUCUUUAAAAAAAAAGAAAUAGAUAUGGUAUACUCUCAGCUUAUGGUUCAUUGGAGAAAUAAAAGUAAUACCAUAUUAUAACCAUAAGGAAAAUAUCCAAUAAGGACACACAUCAACUAUAGAGCCCUACAUAGAGGCUAAUUCUGAAAGGGGCAAAGAAAUGCUUUAGGUUAAGGGAUUCUGGAAGGGAGAAUUGGAGACUGUCUCGAGGAAAUGUUUAGAAGGAAUGGUUUAAAUGACAGGAAUAUUAUAAACCAAAGGAAAGAUAUCCAAAAACAGAAUAUUUUCAGGGAAGUAGAAUUGGUUUACAGUUUCUGUUGUAAAAAGAAAAUCAUAAUUAGAAUGCAGAGCCUGAACAGAUUUGUGAGGGCUGAAAUACUUAGUGAAUAACACUGGAUAGGCAAUGGUAAUCCAGUGAAAGUGAAUUAUGGGUACAUUUCAGGAAACCUAACCUGGAAUCACCUCAUAGUUUGUUUUAGAGAAAGAAAAGAUUGGAAGCAAAAGACGAAUAAUGGGCAGGCAUCUGGUAUAGGGAUGCCUGCAUCCCAUAUCAGAGUGUCUAGGUUCGAGUUCCACCUUCAGUCACAGUUCCAGCAACCUGUUGAUGCAUACCCUGGUUGGCAGCAAGUGUGGACUCAAAUACUUGAGUCCCUGCCACACAUAAAGAAUCAGAUUGAAUUCCUUGCUGCAGGCUUUUUCUUGGCCCAGCUUCAGCUAUUGUGGGCAUUCGGGAAAUGAACUAGCAGAGAGAAGGUUAAAUGAUAACUUACCAUUUAAUGAUCUUCAGACCUUGUGUUUCCAUAUCAAGAACAAGAAUAUAACUUAAUUUUUGUACUUUUGUGAAGUAGCUUCAGCAUGCAAAUGGAGAUAACCAAAGUUAAACACUUUAACUCAACUGAAUGAGCCAUAAACAGGUCUUGUUUGUGAAAGUAGGAAGACAUAAAUGAAUAUGAGAGAAGGACUUGAAAAUAACUAAUGUAAAGCUCACUUUGCCGUUUCUUGUGUUUUCUGAUAUUGACUGCCAUCUUUCUUUAGUGUUUUCUAUUGUCAUGACAAAUUCCUAUCUCCACUCAUCUGAUCCCUGACUUGUCUAUUAAAGGAAUAUUUUCUUCAAAUCAUUUCUGCAACAUGUGGAUGAGUAGAUAGAGUUCAGCAUGAGAAGAAGAAAAACACAUUUUUUUCAGAUUAUUGGUCAAUCUCAAGAUGAGAGAGUAAAUCACUUUGGGUGAGUAACUAUUGUGUUGACUCUAUACUCCUUCAAGUCAGAUAAGUAAGAAUAAUAAAUAGGGUCCUAAGAAAAAUGUAAAAAUCAGACUACCUAAGGUCUCAAUAUUGUUCUGUGUUAUACAAGAGUAGGACACUAUGCAACAAAUGGAAUAUCUUCACAUGUUGAGUUGGUUAUAGGUGUUGAACAUGACUAUAAAAUAAAAUUUUCUUUAUCAUUAACUGUCCCUUUUAUAAUUUUGUAACAAUUUUUAAUGUAAACAAAUUUCAUGUAUUUUUAUAUACAGAUUUAGGAGCAUACUGAAGCUUCCAACUCUACAUUCCCUCCUGCCACACUCCCACCCAACCUCCUCCCUCCUCUUAUUCCCUCUUUUUUAAAAAAUGAUCUUUUUUUUUUUACUUUAUUCUCAUAAGAUUAAACCUACACUAUGUAAAGAGUUCAACAAUAGUAUGAAGGAAAAAACACUGUUUCUCAACAGUAGAGACAAGGCCUGUAGUCAAUCAUUUGGAUCUCAAAAUAUUAAUUUCAGUUCUAUACAUUAUUCUUUUGGUACUCUAUUUUAACACAUAUCAGGGAAAACAUAUGGUAUUCAUCUUUUUGGGACUAGUUAUUUCACUAAGUGUAAUGGUUCCCAGUUGCAUCCAUUUGAGAUUCUUGAGUUGUUAAUUUUCAACUUCAUUGCAUUAUGAUCAUAAAAGUGGCAUGCUCAUGGUAUGAUUUUAAUUUUUUUGAAUUUGCUGAGACUUGCUUUAUGGCCUAGCAUAUUCUAGAGAAAGUUCCAUAUGCUGAUGAAAAGAAUAUAUAUGCUACAAUUGUGAGAUGAAAGGUUCUAUAGAUAUCAGUUAGGGCCAUUUGGUCCAUAGUGUAGAUUAGCUCUGUUGUUUUCUUUGUUGAUUUUCUGUCUGGUUCAUUUGUGCAUUGAUGAAAGUAGGGUGUUGACAUCCCCCAUUACUGUUGUAUUGGAGGCUUUCUCUCUUUAGGUAAAUUAACAUUUGUUUUAAAUAGCCAAUUACUUGGCAUUGGGUGCAUAUACAUUUAUUAUAGUCACAUCUUCCUGUUGAAUUGAUCCUUUAUUCAUUACAUAAUGAACUUGUGUUAACCAUUUUUGUGUGAAAGUCUAUUUUGUCUGAUAUCAGAAUGGCUACACUUGCUCAUUUUUGCUUUCUGUUAUCAUCUUUUCCAUCCUUUCACAUUCAAUCUUCUUAUAUUUGUUGGAGUUUUUUUCCUAUAGGCAGCAAAUAGAUGGGUCUUGCUUUUUAAUCCAUUCAGCCAGUCUGUAUCCUUUAAUCAGAGAAUUUAGGCCAUUUAUGUUAAAGGUUACUAUUGAUAAGUAUUAACUUGGGCUUGCCAUUUUUCUGUAAAUAUUCCUAUGUCUGAUUUGGAUUUCUUUUAUACUUUUACUGGGAGAUUUUAUGCCUUCACAUUCUUUUAUAAUGAUGAGCAUGUCUCUGUGUUUCUAUGUGUAGUAUAUCUUUAAGCAUCUUUUGUAAGGUUAGAUGAGUGGUGACAAAUUCUUUCAUUUCUGUCUGUUAUGGAAGAUCUUUAUUUCAGUUUCAUUCAUAAUGGAAAGCUCUACAGGGUAAAAUAUUCUGAGUCGACUUCUAUUUUUUUUUUCCUCUUAAGACUUGGACUGUCUCUCCAUUCUCUUCUAGUCUAUGGAGUUUCUGAUGAGAAAUUGAGAAAUCAGCUUUAAGUCUAAUUGGAGAUCCUCUGAAAGUAAUCUGGCAUUUCUCCCAUACAUGUUUUAGAGUCUUUUCUGCAUGUUUUACUGUUGAAAGUUUGACUACAACAUGUCAUGGUGAAGAUCUUUUCUGGUCAUGUCUACUAGGAAUUCUAUGUGCCUUGUGUAAUUGGAUGUCCCUUUCUGUCUCCAAAUCAGGAAAGUGUUCUACAAUAUUUCACUAAAAGACCUUAUAAUCUUUUCUCUUUCCACAUCUUCAAGAACUCCUAAGACCCGUAUGUUGGGUCCUUUGAUAGUAUUCCAUAAAUCUCAAGCAUUGUUUUUAAUUUUUCUAAUUUCUUAUUAUUUCUUUUGGUCUGACUUACUUCCAAAGAUUUGUCUUCAGCUCAGAAUUCUUUUGUCUUCCUCACCUAGUCUGUCUUUUAAGGCUUUCCACUUUAUUUUUUAUUUUUCAUAUUGAAUUCUUUAUUUCUAACAUCCUAGUUUGAUUUAUCUUCAGAAUCUCAAUCUCAUGGGAAAAAAUUCCCUCUUUGUCAUGUAUGGAUUUCUUUAACUUCUGAAUUUGCUUCUCAUUGCUUCUGUGCAAUCCUCUGAUCAAUCUUUUGUAUUCCUUUACCGGCAUUUCAUUAAUCUCUUCAUCUUCACAUUCUAAUAUUGAAGUGUUGUAUUCUUUUGGGGGAAUCACAUUGUCUUCCCUAUUCGUUUUUCUUGAAUUUCUCUGUUUUUAGGCAUUUGUGUAAAUACUUGAUUUUCUCUGCUCAUAGAUUUUUAUCUUUGAACUAUGUACCUGUGGCUUAGUUAAGUGGUCUUUCAUUGAAUACCCAGAGGGGUGUUUUGGGUGUGACCAGGGAGCUCUGGUCAGUGCUAGGGGGCAGGGGGAACAUGAGUAUCAAGGGUGACACACAGUUGAGUGUGGUGGAUCCCUAGUGUCAGAAGGGAAGGGUAUGAUCACCUCUGUUAGCACAAGUAUACUCUCAAGUCCUGUCUUCCAAGGUGAUCAAUGCCUGGGGUUAGCCCUCAGUGGGUACAAUACUCACCCAUGCUGGCACAUGAACCAAACAAAGGGCUUUGCAACCCUCAGUUUGAAAACAGAACCUUCUGCAAUGACCCACCCUAGGCAAUAAAGGAGUUUUAACUCCAUGGUGUCAGAUACAGGGAUUGCUCAUAGACCCUGCUACACCCUGCACCCUAUCAUGAAGUCAGAGUUCCCACUUUCACAACAUGCAAGGCUCCCACUGUCAUGGUGUACAGAGGUGCCACUGUGCCCCACUAGCCUAUCCCAUCCACAGAGAAAGCAGAGAUGUUCCCAGAGCCAGCUGCCUGUGGGUGGUGGGUGCUCUGCCUUGGCAGUUUGAGCUAUAUAGCCUGUGAUAUGUUGAGAUGAUGGGGGAGCCUCACAGUCCUACGUGGGUGCAUAGUCCCCUCUCAACUCUCACAGCCAGACUCAAAGUCAGUGGGGAAUGCUGAUUUUCCCUCUGGUAAAAUCUCCUGAUCACAUGUGUGCACAAGAGCUACUGCAUCUACUACUGGUGUCAAAAUGGCACCUUCUCCCCUCCAGUUGCUGGGCGCCCUGAUGGAGAGCUGAUGAGAAAGAAACAUGCUUUUCAUUUGCUGGAUUAGGUGGGCAACCUGCCCCCCAUUAAAGCUCCAGGCUGGGCUCAAAGACAGCAUGGUCCACAAGGCUCCCCCUCAGGCAAGAUCACCAGUGGCACAGUCCACAAGGCUCUCCCUCAGGCAAGAUCACCAGAGGCACAGGCUGCCACAGUCUGCUGUCACCUUGCUCUCCAGAGCUGGAGUCUCCUUUAGCUCUCAGCUAUGAGGGAACGUGUGUGGUGCCCAUGCUUGUUGCUGCAUGUCUGCACCUUCCACACUGGUCCACAGUGUCCCUCUUUCUUCUGUAGAAUUUCCACUGAAAAUUUCUCUUCAACUGUCCCCUGGAAAUGCACUUUCUACACUUUUCUUCUAGUUUUUCCCCUUAAUCUAAAGCAGUUUGUCUUUUCGCUAUUUAGCCAUCUUGGAAUCCUCCUUAUUGUUAAUAUCUUAAAGUUUAUUCUCUGUUAGAAUGACUUAUUGAGUACUCUCCUACAGCACUUUAUUUUCUACAUUUUAACCUUUUAUGGAAAUAUUUAAAUCUGCACUGAGAGAGAAAGAUAUAGCAUAAUGUACACCAUAUACCCUUCACUUUAAUAAGUAACAUUUUGGGGCCGCCUCUUAAGUAGAGUAAGCAUCCACAUGAGGCGCUGGCAUCCCUUAUGGAUGCCAGUUCGAGUCCAGGCUGCUGGACAGCCCACCAACUGGAGGCUCCAGCAACUUCUGCUCCAGCUCUCUGUUGAUGGCCUGGGAAAACAGUGGAAGAUGGCUCAAGUGCUUGGGUCCCUGCACCCAUGUGGAGACCUGGAAGAAGCUCCUGGCUCCUGGCUUCUGAUCGGCCCAGCUUGGUCCAUUGCGACCAUUUGGAGAGUGAACCAGCAGAUGGGAGACCUCUCUCUGUCUGUAACUCUGCCUCUCAAGUAAAUAAAUCAAUCUUUAAAAACAUAAGUAACGACCGGCGCCGCGGCUCACUAGGCUAAUCCUCCCCCUUGAGGCACCGGCACACCGGGUUCUAGUCCCGGUCGGGGCGCCGGACUCUGUCCCGGUUGCCCCUCUUCCAGGCCAGCUCUCUGCUGUGGCCAGGGAGUGCAGUGGAGGAUGGCCCAAGUGCUUGGGCCCUGCACCCCAUGGGAGACCAGGAAAAGCACCUGGCUCCUGCCAUCGGAUCAGCGCAGUGCGCUGGCCGCAGCGCGCCAGCCACGGCGGCCAUUGGAGGGUGAACCAACGACAAAAGGAAGACCUUUCUCUCUGUCUCUCUCUCUCACUGUCCACUCUGCCUGUCAAAAAAUAAAAAAUAAAUUAAAAAAUUAAAAAAUAAAAAAAAGUAACAACAUUUUGUCAAAUGUUCCCAGUGUGUUAUUAUUACUCUCACUCUUUAUUGGACUAUUUUAAAUCUAAUAUCAAAUAUGUUAUUUUGAAAAUAAUUCAGUAUGCAACUCUAAUUGACAACUAUUUGAACAUAAUAAGCAUGUCUUUGUCAUACCAUAGAUCCUUAAUCUACUAUACAUUCCUUGUAUACAUUUCUCCACUUUGUCAAAGAUGUCCCUUUAUAGUUUGUCCAAACCAGGAUCCAAACUCCACACAACAUUUUUGGUUACUAUGUCUAAAACAUAUUAUGGUUUUGUUAUUUGAUUAUUUUAUCUGUAGUAUUCUUCCUUUCACUUUUUCUUGACAUUUGUUUAUUGGAAAAAAAUUACUUAAUAUUUUAUAUCAAGAUUGUUACACUACUUUUACUUGUAAAACAAAAAUAUAACUCAUUCGAUGUUUGUUCAACCACUGUAUAAUGAACAAUUACUAUGUAGAGGACAUUGUACUAGGCACUGAAUGAAAUUCUAAGAUGGUUCCCACCUCCAAGAUGUUACAAAAUAGAGGAAGAUGGUAUCCACAUGGCAGUAGAAGCUAAUUAUGUGGUAAAAAUACUAUAGUUUUAAUUGUAAGCAAAUGCAUAUAAAGAUUAUGCAGUGGUUUUUGAAGAGUUGGCAGGGGAGAUGGAUAUAUCAAUACGUUAGAGUGAUCAUAAAUUAAGAUCCAGCUAGGUUGGGAGACAAGUUAAAAGGAAAGUUAAUUCGGUUAUUCAAAAAGUUGAGGAAAAGCAAGACAUAAACUUUAAGGUGUGGGGAAAGUGAGAAGUGUUAUAAGAGAUUUUAAGGGACUCUAGGGAUUGUAGACAAAUAAUUCAGUGGCAGCAAACCUUUGUAAAGGAGAUAUGCCUAAGUGACAAGUAGAGAGCAUGUUUGGGAGGAUUUUGAACAACAGGCUAAAUGUCUUGAACAUUGUCCUCUAGAGCUGGAACUAUGAACUUUAUUAAUUUUUCUACUUAUGGAAGAUUAGAAGUUACAUAAUCAUAGAUAUUAUAUUAGUGAGCAAAACACAUCUAAUUUCGUAAGGGAACUUAAAAUGUUUCUACAUUCCAACAGCUAUCAUUUUCAAAUAUUUACAGCAAAUUGGUGGAAUAAUUUAAUGCUUAGUUUUGCCUAAUAGCUAGAUGCUCCACUUAGAGGAAUGCAAAAAUACAGAGCUGAUUUAGCCAACCUCUACUACAUAGCACAGAAGAGAGACCUUCAUAAAACAAGGAUUCUUCAUAUCACAGCGUCAAACAGCAAACACAACUCAACAAAUUUAACAUAGACAGAAGGUGAUUCUGUUAAAAAUAUUCAUCCUAAUUAUGUCAAAUUCUACAAUUUUGUGUAUUUUGAAAAUACAGUGAAGCUUGUAAUAUAAACUAUGUUCUACCUAACAAUUUUAAAUAUAAUAAUCAAAAUUUCUAUAAUUUGAUUGCCCUUUAAUCUAUCAGAUUUUUAAAAAUUUACCACCUCCCAAAGACGAAUGUUAUAUAACUCCUGAACAAAGUUCAUACUUACUUGUUUUUCUAUCUUGAGCUCAGCCACUUUCUCAAUAGGUUCUCUUCUGAAAUGCUUUCUUCUUCUCAACCUAAUAACAGCCCUCAUAACCUGUAUGGAUUUUUCUUGUUUGCCACCACUAGAAGCUGUAGUGAAUAACAACAAUCCAGGGCCGGCACCGCGGCUCACUAGGCUAAUCCUCCGCCUUGCGGCGCCGGCACACUGGGUUCUAGUCCCGGUUGGGGCGCCAGAUUCUGUCCCGGUUGCCCCUCUUCCAGGCCAGCUCUCUGCUGUGGCCAGGGAGUGCAAUGGAGGAUGGCCCAGGUGCUUGGGCCCUGCACCCCAUGGGAGACCAGGAAAAGCACCUGGCUCCUGGCUCCUGCCAUCGGAUCAGUGCAGUGCACCGGCCGCAGCGGCCAUUGGAGGGUGAACCAACGGCAAAGGAAGACCUUUCUCCCUGUCUCUCUCUCUCACUGUCCACUCUGCCUGUCAAAAAAAAAAAAAAAAAAAACCAAACAAACAAACAAAAAAAAAACAAACACAAUCCAUACAAGAUGUUCCAUUUAUUUAAUACAGUGGUUCAAAAUUACAAGUGAUUUUUCACUUAGUCCCCAGGACACAUUUGGCAAUAUCUGUGGACAUCUUAUUAGUAGAGGUCAAGGAUGCUGCUAAAUGUUCUAUGAUGUAUAGGGUGGGUUCCUAUCAUUCAAAAUAAUCUAACCAGAAAGCCAAGAGUGCUGCUGUUGAGGAACCUGAACCCAAUCCAGCGUUACACCUCUCUUUCAAUCUUGGCCAUGAUAUUACUUCUCUGUGUAGGUCUUCAAUUAUAUGUACUAGAGUAAAAGAUUCUGGAAUACUAGGAUCACAUUUUAUACACGGUUUUAUUCAGUCAAAUGCCUAGCACAGAGUUUGAUUAUAAAAUUAAGAAGAGGCAUUUCUUAGUAAAAAUGCCACUUGAACAUGCAAAUGAAAUGAGUAAAGCAUCAUUUUGCCAAUAUUAAUGUGUCAAUUCUGGGCAUGAUUUGGCCAUAUGAGAAAGCCCAUUUUAGGUAUGGGAUUCAGAUAAGGACCCAAUUUCACAGGAAUUAGAGAACAUACUUAUGGGAUAUGUAUUUCUCAGCACAUGGUAAGAAAAGAAGAAAAGGAAAGAUGGAAACAUCUGCUUCUGUUUGAUCUCCCUAAGUGUUGAUUAUUUGCUCAUAAUGGAGCUGACAGUUCAUGAUACAGCUGAUUGGCAAAUAUGCCAGUUUUCCUGGGACUUCAUGAAAUAGAAAAUUGUAAGUUAUUUUGUUGAAUGGUAAAGCCAAAGAUGGUAUUGUUCCCAAAAAUAACUAUCCAAUGACACAGAACCUAUGAAUAUAAUCUUUUAAAUAAUCUUGUUUAAAAAUAUUCAAUGUAUAUACCAGGGCCUGAGACAAAAAGGUGCUCGAUAUUCAUUUGCUGAAUGAAGAUCUCUAAAACUAACAUUUGUCCCCAUAUUAAGGUUCUUGCCACACAGACAGACCUUUCAAAGUUGCUCCAUCUGUCCUGUACAUUUUAAAAGUUUCAACCUAAGCUUUCUACCUCUCCAUUUGCAACCGGGAAUGUUCAUGCGGUAUAUCAUUCAGUUUAUUGUGAUAUACUAUAUAAUUUAAGAAUCCUGCAACUCCAUUUCAAGAACUAAAAUGUAUACUUAACUAAAUUUACUCUUGGUUAGUAAUCACACUGCUCUUUUCAGUAAAUCUGAAAAGAUUUACUAUCCCUUUGAACACAAAAAUCUCUUAAUACAAACAUGAUAAUGGUAUUAAAAUUAGAGAAAAAACAAGCAACUAUCAGAGAGAAAGAGAUUCAGGUCAUCAUUCCUCCUUAACACCUACAUCUUUUUCUAGUCAUGCUCAAGUCACCUGAUUUACAUCUAAGAAAGGGGUAUUUUCUGAAACUCUAAUCUUUUAUUCCAUUUUUACCAAUGAGUUAAUAUAUUUCUUUUAGAAAUUCUUAAACUUGCAUUAUUUAGCUUACACUUAGAUUAUACUUAUUACAAAAAAUAUUGUAGUGCACUUUUUAGAAAAUACAGAUUAAAUGAAAUAAUAAAAGCUCACCUAGUGAGUAGCAAAUGAAAACCUAGGGAAAUAUACAGAGAAAACUUAAUGUUGGGCACAGGAAUUUAAUUUUCUUAAAUUAGAAAACCUAGUUUCAUAAUUAAGAAAUUACAAAUGGUAAAAGAAUCAAGAGGUCUUCUUUUUCUGGUAGUUAGAUAGAAAAUAAAUCACAAUUGGAAGAAAGUUGAAAAAGAAGUUGUGCAAUAAUCUAGAUGUUCAUUUAUCAAAGGCAAUUUUAAGUAUCCAUAAUAUUAGUGACACUUCAUUAGAUAUAAAUUAAUAUUUACUUGAACUAGGGCAGUGACUAUAGAAUUUGAAACAAAUUUAUUGCAUAUUCAUAAAAUGAUUAACUCUGGGCUGAUUUUUUUCUUGAGGCUUUUAUGGUUACUUUUUUAUUUUUCAGAUUAUACUUACUUGAAACUGAUUCAUGGUGGUAUUGGGGGUGCUUUCCUAAAAUAAAUUACAUCAAUAACCGUGAGAAAAUAAAGCCAAUACCUGCCAAUCAACUGUUUGUUGGUCUAUACCAAGAUGACAUUCUUUCUGAGUUAAACAGUGCCAGGGUCUAAACAGAAAGCUAGGAGAAAGGCAGUAAAGAGCAGUGUAUCCCCUCUUAGUUUUAUCAAAGACUGUUUCUGCAGGUCACCUAAGAACUGAAAUCCAUCCUGGUCCUGCAUGAAUGCUUUUAGUGACUCAUGAACAUGUUCACUAAAAGAAAUGAAUGAGGGGACAGGCAUUCUGGUACAGGGAGUUAAGUUCCCGCCUACAGCACCAGCAUCCCAUAUGGGCAUGGGUUCAAGCCCCAGCUGCUCUACUUCCCUUCCUUUUCUCUGUUAAUGUGUCUGGAAAAGCAUCAGAGGAUGGCUCAAGUGCUUGGGCCCCUGCACUCACGUGGGAGACCGGGAAGAAGCUCCUGGCUUCUUCUACUCCUCCAGCCAUUUGGGGAGUAAACCAGCAGAUGGAAGAUCUCUUUCUCAGCCCCUGCACCCACAUGGGAUACAUGGAAGAAGCUCCUGGUUCUUGACUUUGGUCUGACCUAGCCCUGGUCAUUACAUCCAUUUGGGGGAUGAACCAGUAGAUGGAAGACUUCUUUGUCUCUGCCUCUGCCUUUUGAAUAAAUAAUAAAAUAAAGGUUUCUUUAAAAAAAAAAGAAAAAAGAAAUGAACAAAAUCAAAUUGCCACUAUUAUUGAUCAUUUCUACCACGUGGCUUUAGACUGAAAGUGAUUUUCAAGGGUUCCAAAAGCUAUUUCUAAGUUUUUCCCUUAAUGUGAUGUGUAGCAUUUAGACACAAGUCAAUCUAGCCACAUCUUAUCUGUUCCACCAGACCACUGGAAAUGAUUGUUAAUAACUAAAGGAACUACAUUUGAAAGACUGCCUUCUAUAUAAUUUUAUGUUUAUAUUAAAAUAAAUAAAAAUCAAAAUACCUAGAUCAUUAACAAAAGCAAAAAGAAAAAAACCUUCAUAAAAGUCCCCAACUCUGACUUUGACUUAAUGCAUGGAUCAAUGUGAAACCUGGAAAUGUGGUUAAGAAAUGAAAUCACUCAUCAUUUUCCUAGUUUGUCAAUGAAUGUGCACAACUUAGAAUUUUUAAAGGAAUAUUAAUUACAAUAUUAGUCACAAUGACAUUCUAUUUUGGAAUUUUAUGAAACUAUUAAAAGAUAUAAAUGAGUUUUAUUUUAUCUAAGUCCCUUUUGGAAGGACUUUGAGAAAUUUAAUCAGUAAACGUUACUGGUCUAUUUUAAACACUUGAGCAACAAGGGGAUCCCAAUCUUUACAUUUCCAAAUACCCUUUUGUUUAAAAAAAGAUUUAUUUAUUUGAAAAUCAGAGUUACAGAGAGAGAGGACAGAGGCUAAGAGGAGGGGGUUCUUCUAUCCACUGGUUCACUCCCCAACUGCUGCAAUGGCUGGAGCUGUGCCGAUCUAUAGCCAGGAGGCAGUAGCUUCUUCCGGGUCUCUCACGCAGGGGCCCAAGGACUUGCGCCAUCUUCUACUGCUUUCCCAGGCCGUAACAGAGAGCUGGAUCAGAAGUGGAGCAGCCGGGACUAGAACCGGCACCCAUAAGGUAUGCCGGCGCUUCAGGCCAGGGCGUUAACCCACUGUGCCACAGUGCUGGCCCCCCAAAUAUGCUUUUUAUAUAAAGAUUGCUCAUGGACUGUAGCAUCUGCUUCCUAAUUCUUGCAUGUGACAAAUAUUUAUUGAUAGAACUAUUAUACAUUGAAUAUAAUACAAGGAACUUCCCAUGUACGAAUAUGCAAAAUAAAUUUUCCAUUUUUCAAGGGAACUUGUACAUUGAGAAAAAUAUAAAAAGUACUACUAUAGAAAUAAAUUGCUUAGGAGACUACCUAAGCUAGAGAGAGGGAUUUUGUAUUACAAUGCUAUUUAUUCUCUUACCAGUAUAUUUAAAACUCCAACAAAAACCUUAGAAGUUUCCUAUGAAAGAUGGCAAUGUGAAUGUGACACCUAUGAACUAUUCCACAGUAUGUAAAAGGCCUGAAGGGAUCUACAGUAACAACUAUUUUCUUUUAUAUAAAUUCAUCAUAUGUUUCCCACAUUUUGACAUUCCUAUAAAAUCUUUUUAAAUGUAACACAUUUUAUUUUGGGGAACUGUCUCUCCGAGACAAAAUUCUUACGUGUUCCCUCCUCUAUUUCUUCCCUGUUUUUCCCCUAAAUCAGUCUAGAAGAGGCUUUUUUUUUUCUUUUGCUGGUAAAUAUGAUUUAUCUGCUUUGGGAGGAAAAAAAAGAAACACUGAAAAAUCUGUGGUACAUUUUCUGCUCCAGUAAAUAGGUCACACUUUGUCAAAUUCUGAAUAUAUUAAGUCUUUGUAGAAUUCUGUUUUUCUCAAAUACUAGGUUGGUAUACUGGAUAUCAAUGGGUAAUUUAUUUUGUUAUAAGUAAACUGUUACUCAGGGUUUUUUUUCUUCUUUUUUUAAACUUCAAAUCACAAAGGCUUCAAAAAAGGAAUCAGAGAUUAGGAUGCUUAAGGAGAACAUUGGAUUUCAUUUAUAUUUGUGCAAUUGUACACUACCCUUCAGAACAAAUUUAACUCUUUUGGGUGGAUGGAAGGUCAGAUGUUCUUCGAAGAAAGUGAGAGAUGUAACUUGAGAAUCCCAAACCAAGACUAAAACGAUUUCCUUCCAAAGCAAUCUUACCUCUCACUAAGAAGUCUAAAAGGCUACAAAACCAAAAAGGAUAAAUGCAAAGAGUACUUUCCUCCGAAGAUAAUCCUGUUCACUAUGGAGGAUGGAAUUUCCAGUGCUUAGAGGUGGAGCAUUCACCGGAAAGUGAUAGUUUUCAGAACUGUAUUUCAGAACCUAUAUUUUUGUCUACCUAUAAAAAGUGUUCACUGGCUCGCUCUCAACAUCAAAUGGCCUUCACUUACCAGACUGUAUCAGACAUCUGCAAAAUCUAAAAUUAAACAAGUGUUUAAGAUAUGUACACAUCUAUAUUUCUCUCUCCUAGUCUGAUUUCUUAUCAACUCAAUAUUAUGUAUACUAAUUCAAGAGGCAAGAAUAAGAAAAAACUCAUUGAAUUGUCCAUUUACCAUGUUAUUUUAUAGACUGUGAUAUCAGUAUAUAAUUUUGCUAUCUCUUUAAAUUGAUGAGUUAAUUAAAAAAUUAUGACAGAAAUUUAAAAUGUGUAUUGACUCACAAGCCAGCAAAUCAUUGAAAAUUCUAUUUGAAUGAAACCACUAACACUGGUGUAAGAAUAUAGAACUACAAGAUUAUAUUUGACAAAGCAAGAUCUGUAGAAAUGUAUUUCCAUUGACAGUAAGUAAAAGUAAUGUGGACUCUUACAAGGAAAUAUGAAGUUUAUCAGAUAAAGCUUUAGAGAGAAGUAAAUUUUUGCUAUUCACUUCAUCUUUAUUUUCAGACACAUUCAUCUUUAUUCACAGAUCUGAUGCUCUUGCACCUUAAAAUUCAACAUUAUAAUUUCAGUUUUUCUGUAUUAUUAUUUAUCAUUUAGGUCUGGAACACACAAACCUCUUUAAAACAAAUGUAGACAUUGUGUCCCAGAACCCAUUUGCCCAAAUAAUUAAUAAAGUGCCUUCAGUCACUUCCAGGAUUUGAUCUUUCAAAAAAAGGUUAUGUUUUCUUACUUAAAGGCCAUUGCUACCCAAGGCAUCUCUAUUAAAUGAAUGCCCAAAUUGUGUCUCUUUCUUGUUUAGUAAGAGAGGAUUCUUGUUUUUCUUUUCUUUGCCACAAGACGAGAAACUUAAGAUGCAAUGCUUAGUCUUAAAAUAUAUAUAGAUAAUACAGAAAAUAAGCCAACAUAAGGAUUGUAAAAAUUUCCAAAAUUAUAUGUUGCUCAGAUAAUGUUUGGAAACAGUGAUAGUCACUUCAUCAUGCUUACCAGUCCAUUUUUACUUGGUUCUGGAGUGAGAGGUGUGAGUCUGCAUGAUCUUUGGAGAGCCAAGCAACCAGAAUUUGAAUAAUAAAAAAUACGUAAAAAACCAUACAUGCCCUAAGAACAGCAAAUAACUAUCAGUUUCUGUGUAAUAGUGGCUUCAAGGGGGCCAGCACCAUGGCUUAGUGGAUAAAGCCAUCGCCUGCAGUGCCAGCCUACCAUAUGGGUGCUGGUUCAUGUCCUAGCCGCUCUACUUCCAAUCCAGCUCCCUGCUAAUGUGCCUGGGAGAGCAGUAGAUGGCCUAAAUGCUUGGGCCCCUGCACCCAUGUGGGAGACAUGGAGUAAGCUCCUGGCUCCAGACUUCAGACGUGCCCAGCUCUAAUUGUUGUGGCCAUUUGGGGAAUGAAUUAGCAGAUGGAAGAUCUCUCUUUCUCUCUGCCUCUUCCUCUCUCUCCUCUUCUGUAACUCUGCCUCUCAAAUAAAAUAAAUAAAUCUUUAAAAAACACUAUGCUGUGGUACCAAGCAGUACAAUAUGAACAAUCCUAUCCCCAAAAUGUCAAAGACAAUUAAAUCAUUGGGUUGAUAAGAAUACCUUCAGAAUGAACAGCUAAGGUAUUUUCCUUGUCUUAAUUUUUAGUGAUCUAACUUGGCUGGUUGUUCUGAUUAGACAAAAUAAAAGGACAUCCAUAACAAAACAUAAGGUUAUACACCUUUUAUAUAUAUUAGCUGUUGAGAUCACAAAUAAUUAUAUUACACUUGCCUAUUUUCAAAAGUUCAUAGCAUAGUUUUCAGAAGGAUUGAAAACAAUAAAAUAAGUAAAACUGUAGGUACUUUGAGAGUUAAAGGGGCGCCAGCACUGUGGAGUAGUGGGUUAAACUGCUGUCUGUGGUGCCAGCAUCCCAUAUGUGCGCAGGGUUCAAGUCCCAGCUGCUCUGUUUCUGACCCCACUCCUCCCUAAUGGCCUGGGAAUGCAGCGGAAGAUGGCCUGAGUCCUUGGGCCCCUGCACUCACUUGGGAGACUUGGAAGAAGUUCCUGGCUCCUGACUUUGGCCUGACCCAACCCUGGCCUUUGCAGCUAUUUGGGGAGUGAACCAGUGAGUGGAAGAUCUCUUUCUCUCCAUCUCUCACCUCUCUCUCGAACUCUGACUUUGAAGUAAAUAAAUAAAUCUUUAAAAAUAGAGUCAAUGGAAAAUGCAUAGAAAACAAAAAAUAAGCCUAUGGUACAUACUAUAAAAACGCAGAGGUGAAGGCAAUUCCUGAGGAAUGAGGAAGUUCAAAAAGACUCUCAGAAGAGAUAAAGUUUACACAAGUGCACAAAGAAACCGUAUUUUAGACAUGCACAUUUUUUCCAUGGAAUGGAGACUGAUCCAUAUUGUUUGGCAUUUUAAAAAAGGAAUAAGCAAUUUUGUUUACAGCAAAAGAUUCACUUAUGGAAGCAAGAGAAAACAAGGUUAGAGAGAUGAGUAGGGGCCAAUGUUGGGAGAGCAGUAGAGGAUGGGGAGGUUCUUGGGGCUAUGAAGUAUGAAAAGGGUGACAUUUAUUCAAGAAAUAAAUUAGCAUCUGCUACUUAAGAGAUUUUAUAUGGGGACAAAACAGGCAUCUCUGGAAAAGAUAUUAAAAGAUAUUUAAAACAGAGGGGAGAGCAAGAAAGAUAAAUCUGAGACAUACAGAAUAAAUUUCAAUGAAGAUAGAACAGUUUACAUAGUGUUGAAACAUACCAACAAAAAAGAGUUACCAUAUGUGAAAGCAGACGGGAAUUGAAGGGCGCUCAUAUGAGAGGUUUAUGAAGGAAGCAGCAGCUGAACUGGGUGGCUGAUAAUGUAAGAAAGCAGAAAGCUCAGCAGACAAGAUGACUCUAGGAAAGGAUUAUGCUUUUGGUUUUAAAAGAUGUGCAAUGCAAACUUUAUGCCAACAACUCAAGUUAGGGUUCAAACAUCAAGGUUAAAUGUAGGUUAAGGGUACAACCCCACAACACUUCCCUUGCUUCAGAGCCACAGAGUCUAGGGUUUCCAGGAUACCCACACUAUAAAGAGAUACUCAGGCCAGCGCCACGGCUCACUAGGCUAAUUCUCCACCUGCGGCGCCGGCACACCGGGUUCUAGUCCCAGUCGGGGCGCCGGAUUCUGUCCCAGUUGCUCCUCUUCCUGGCCAGCUCUCUGCUGUGGCCCGGGAGUGCAGUAGAGGAUGGCCCAAGUGCUUGGGCCCUGCACCCGCAUGGGAGACCAGGAGGAAGCACCUGGCUCCUGGCUUCGGAUCAGCGCGGUGCGCCAGCCACAGCGCGUGGCUGCAGCAGCCAUUGAGGGGUGAACCAACGGAAAAAGGAAGACCUUUCUCUCUGUCUCUUUCUCUCACUGUUCACCAAGAUCUGGAUUUCUUCCAAAUAUGAAACUUCCAUGUCCCUAUGACAUAUCACUCUCUUAGCAUACUGAAGUAUCUUACAAACCAAAAAACUAAAUUGACCAUCAUUGUUGAGAGUUUUUAUUGAGGUUUUCAUUACAAUGAUAUGGGUCACAAAGUUGCGCUCCAUCUUCAGCCCUGGGGCCAUUGUGGUGGAGCAGCAAGUUAAGCUGCCACUUGGGACAAUGGCAUCCCAUACCAGAGUGCUGGAUCAAGUCCUGGCUACCCACUUCCAAUCCAAUAUUCUGCUAAUAUACCCAAGAAGGCAGAAGAUGGCCCACGUGCUUGCACCCCCGCCAGCCACAUGGGAGACCAGGAUGGAAAUCCUGAGGGCUGGCUUUGGUCUGGCAGAGGCAACUGUUGCAGCCACUGGGGAGUGAACCAGCAGAUGGAGGACUGAUUGAUUCUCAUUCAUGCAUAUUCAUUCAUUCAUUCAUUCUCUUUCAAAUAGAUAAAAUCAUUUUUAAAAAAGAAUCUCCAACCUCUUACUCCUUUCUGCUACCCAUAGUCAGCUGAUAUGUUCGAUCAAGGUUUCUGGCAUGGUCACUCCCAGUCCUUAUUCACCUCCUUGGCAUAAACAAUCAUCUUGUUGUCAUAAACGCUGGUGUGACCUACUGGAACAACUCUAAGUAACAGUGAUUUCUAUAGCAUGGACAAUGUAAGGGUUCAGAAAUUACCUCCCAAGUACCAGAGACAAAGACCAGACAGAUUGAUAAUUAUAUAACAGAUAAAUGUGGGGUAAUUCUAGGUGUUUCUGCUGGAAACCCAAGGAAAUGACUGAAACUCUAAAACAGGCUGAAGAGAGAGAAGUGACUAGAGAUGUGGCUUCUGUCACCAAGUGAAAGGUCCAGUAUAGUUCAGCAAAUGCUCCAGUUGUCUGAUGGAGGGAUAUGCACAGGACAAGCUACACAAAUAUACACAGCAUCUUUUUCUAAAGAAAUCAACUCUCAGCUUCACAUAAACAUUAGCUUGAAUAGAAGCAACUUUUCACCUCUUCUGUCUUAACCAGAUGUCUAAAAUACAUAUCAUUUAAAGAUGAUGGGCCUGCAUCACAGCUCACUAGGCUAAUCCUCCGCCUUGAGGCGCUGGCACACCGGGUUCUAGUCCCCGGUCAGGGUUCCGGAUUCUGUCCUGGUUGCCCCUCUUCCAGGCCAGCUCUCUGCUGUGGCCCGGGAGUGCAGUGGAGGAUGGCCCAAGUGCUUGGGCCCUGCACCCCAUGGGAGACCAGGAUAAGUACCUGGCUCCUGCCAUCAGAUCAGCGCGGUGCGCCAGCCGCAGCGUGUCGGCCGCGGCGGCCAUUGGAGGGUGAACCAACGGCAAAGGAAGACCUUUCUCUCCGUCUCUCUCACUGUCCACUCUGCCUGUCAAAAAAAAAAAAAUGAUGAUGAAACAACCGCUAAACAAAGUAUGAUCUAAAAAUUAUGUAUUGGGAUUGCAUCAAAUUGAGAAGUUUCUGUACUGCAAAAGAAACAGUCAGGAGAGUGAAGAGACAACCGACAGAAUGGGAAAAAAUAUUUGCAAACUAUGCAACAGAUAAAGGGUUAAUAACCAGAAUCUACAAAGAGAUCAAGAAACUCCACAAAAACAAAACCAACAACCCACUUAAGAGAUGGGCCAAGGACCUCAAUAGACAUUUUUCAAAAGAGGAAAUCCAAAUGGCCAACAGGCACAUGAAAAAAUGUUCAAGGUCAUUAGCAAUCAGGGAAAUGCAAAUCAAAACCACAAUGAGGUUUCACCUCACCCCGGUUAGAAUGGCUCACAUGCAGAAAUCUACCAACAACAGAUGCUGGCGAGGAUGUGGGGAAAAAGGGACACUAACCCACUGUUGGUGGGAAUGCAAACUGGUCAAGCCACUAUGGAAGUCAGUCUGGAGAUUCCUCAGAAACCUGAAGAUAACCCUACCGUUCGACCCAGCCAUCCCACUCCUUGGAAUUUACCCAAAGGAAUUUAAAUUGGCAAAUAAAAAAGAGGUCUGCACCCUAAUGUUUAUUGCAGCUCAAUUCACAAUAGCUAAGACCUGGAACCAACCUAAAUGCCCAUCAACGAUAGACUGGAUAAAGAAAUUAUGGGAUAUGUACUCUUUAGAAUACUAUACCGCAGUAAGAAACAACGAA
Oryctolagus cuniculus (rabbit) is the source of this 44921-nucleotide non-coding RNA. The record is from RefSeq and is a predicted model, not a curated record. Lineage: Eukaryota; Metazoa; Chordata; Mammalia; Lagomorpha; Leporidae.